This 80144-nucleotide long non-coding RNA is filed under the name Malus domestica (apple). RNAcentral's name for it is "long non-coding RNA (MDOM_LNC009744)". Lineage: Eukaryota; Viridiplantae; Streptophyta; Magnoliopsida; Rosales; Rosaceae. The record is from RNAcentral.
GAGAAACUAAACUUUACAAGUUAUAUGUGAACUAUUUAAUAUAAAUAAAGCUCACCAAUAUAAGUAGAUCCUACCUGAUCUACACGUUGUCUAUAAAAUAGAGUAUUCCAAGCAUUUUUUUAAAUUUAAGCUAAAUUUGUGCUUGGGUUUCUGUUGUAUCCAUUUGGCUAGCCAUUUGUCGUAUUCCAAAAAUUAAAUCCCUCCAAGGAAAUCCGGCCGCAGGUGUAGGAGGUGGAUCCGACCCACCAUCGCGGGUCUAGUCGCACUAGAGGGUAUAGCCCGGGUAUGAGACGGAAACCCAUGAAAUCAUGGGUUGUUGCUUGCAAAAUGGUGGGGAGGAAAGGAAAAUAUGGGCGCCGUCUGUUUACGCCAGAGAGAGGGAGAGGGAAAAGGUAAAAAGUAAAAAAGGAAAUAUGAGCACCAUCACAUUAUGUGGUGUACUAAGACCACCUUCAAACCCGGGCUAAAUGCCAAAUGUUUAUCGGAAUUUAAAUCUUUUUAGAUUAAAAUGUUCAUAAAAUUAAUUUACAAUAAUCUACAUAUUUAUUUUUUUAAAAUUGAUUUAAGAAAAAAAUUAGUCUAAGUUCAUUCUUUAAUAAUUCCGAGCUAAGAUUUUAGGGCAGAAGAGUUGGAGCAGAAAAGAUGUUUUUGGGCUAAAAGCUAAAUUUUCCGGGCUAAAAAAUUUGGCUUUUAGCCCAAGAGUUAGAGAUGGUCUAAUGUACUACAACAAACAAAUAAUUUAUGUAUGUACAAUUCAAAGAAUCAAGUAAUUAAUGGUCCCUCGUUAAAAAAAAAAAAAGGAAGGACAAUAUUAGAGAGAUUAAAUUUAUAAAUCAAAUGAUGUGUCAUCAAUAGAAAAUAAGCAAGUUAAUUGACACUUAACAAUAAUCCAAUAAUAAGUCUUCACAUCAUUUGAUUUACAAAACUUAAUUUAAAAUUUUGAUCUCGCUAUCAUUAAAUUAAAAAAAAAAUACUAAAAGUUGGGGUCACUGCAUGAUCGAGCCGGUUAAUUGUACGUUGAGAGUUUGAAUUUAUUCAUUAUCAACUUGCUUUUUCAUUGACAAAUCACAUCCUAACAUGAUAAUGACUUUGCUCAAAUCAUGGCCAUUCAACAACUAAGAUAUUUUCGGAUCGAAUAGGGAUCCUCUUUGAAUUUUUUUUAUGAGAAUUCUAGAGAUCCUUUAAUUACAUUCGUUCAUCACACAUCGUACGAUCAAUUUUGAUCAAGUAUUGUUUAUAUUUAAUUUUAAAUAAAAAAAUUUACAAUAAUUUCUGACCACACGAUAUACGAUAAACGAAUAUGAUUGAAAAUCGAUAGAAUCCUCAAAAAUAGAAUCCGAAGAAGAUCCUCAUUCUUUUGGAAUCGUGAAAAAAACGAGGAUACUUUAUUUUUCUUGAUCUAACCUUUUCUCUCUUCCGGUCCGGAUCUGGUAGCAAUUUGCAUGCUUUGUACUUAUGUUCUAGUUUUUUUUUUUUUUCCUUCUUUAUUCAACUGAUCAAUUAUUAUAACCAUGAUUAUGAUUACUUAACACUGUUACAAUGUCCACCUUCUUAUUUCUUACCCCCCCCUUCUAUAUUUACACCCCCAAUUAAAAGUAAAAAGAGAGCAAAGUUAUCUCCACACUUACCAUUAUUCCUUAAAUAGCCUAAACAGUCCAAUAUUGUUUUUUCCUUGAAUCCAACCAGUAAUCCCUUCGUUAACCCUACAAGAAAAAUGGGCUAAGAACACAAUUGAUUGGUGCCCUUCUCAUUUUCAUUGAGCACAAAUAUAUAUUUGUGCUUUUUAAAUUCCAUUGAGCACCAAAAUACCUCAAAUGUGCCCUCUAACAUAAAGGCACAUUAGUUUGUGUCGGGUAUUUGUGCCUACUAAAAUUUGAACACCAAACUUUGUGUCCAGCUUGCUUGUCAGGGAUGAAAUUUUUUUUUUAUUAAUUUACACAAACACAAUAAAGGCUUUUGUGCCCUCUAUUUUAAUAUGUUUAAAUAAAAAAAUUAUAUUUUCGUGUCUUUUACAUUUAAUAUUUCCUAUUCCCAACUAUUUUUUUCUUGUUUACAAUUUGUGAAAAUAUCUAGUUGCAAUCAAUUUGAAUUAUUAAUGGUGAUAAAUAUUAUAUUCUAUUUAAAUAAUACUUAUCGUAAUGAACGCGUGGUUACAAACUGAUGUGAAUUCGGAAUUAGAACGAGUAAGUUACGAAUUUUUAAAAUUAGAAGGCAAAAUGGUAAAAUUUUGGGAAGGAGUAUUCUAGAAGCCAAAGCUUCUCCCAUUUUACUUUCCCGACAAGCACAUGUAGCAGGGACCCACCCACGUGGGUCUUCACCCUUCCCACCUAAUUAUAUAUAUAUAUAAUAGUAUUAAAUUAUUAUUUUAUUAAUUUUAUGAUGGAUUUUUGUGCUCCUCCAUCUUUUUUCUAUCCCGGCACAAAUGCAACAAGGACCCACCCACGUGGGUCUUCACCCUUCCCCAUGCUUCUACUCCUCUCUGCACUGCAUCACUCUUCUGUCUCCCUCCUUCACGCAACCCUUUCUCUCACUUUCUCACUUUACUUCUUCAUAAUUUUCUCUGUGAUCUCCUUCACCAUCUCUGUGCUCACUGCACAGAAAACCUCAGCAUCCAUCUCCAUCUAACUAGCCACUCCGGCGAACCUUGCCACCACCCAAACACUACAUGCCACCCUCGCUCUCUCACAAUCUUUUUGUCUCUCCCUCUCGGCUUCUUCCUUGACACAGAGAAGCACAUAAGCAAUGACGGCGGCGGAGCUGGCGAUCUCCGGCGAGGCAACCACCAGCGUCACCUUCCUCUCCUCUCUGCAGACUCCCCUUUACCUUUUGCUUUCUGAAAAUCGAAACCGACGCGAUGAAAUGACAAGGUCCGUCGCGGCUUGACUCCUUGGCGAGAUUUUCCGUCGAAUUCAGUAUGGGUGAGUCUUGAAAACACCUUAGUUAGGUUCUUUAAGUUGUUUAGAGACGCUUUCGUGCACUGCAUGCCUGAUUUGGUUAAGUUUGGAUGCAGUUUCAACUUAGGGGACAAAUUCCCCUGAUUUCCAGCGAGGGCUAUGAUUUUAGGCUAUCACCGGCCACUCAAUGGCCUUGAAGUAGGUAAAUUUCGAAUACUUACCUUUGUAGCUUUGUUUUAGCUUUUGAAUUGUUGAAAAUGGUUGUGUUUUGGACCAAAACGGACUCUGAAACCCCUGGCGUGGCUGCAGGUCGCACUGUCGCUGUGCGUGGAGCUGUUGUGGAUGGCGCGUGGAGCACAGGCGCCUCCACCGGAAGGAUGAUUGCCUGAAAGGAUGAAUAUACGUUUUCAAAUGUUUGUUUUAGAUUGUAGGGUAUUUCGAAUUUGUUAUUUUUUAAAAAAAAAAAUUAAUUGAUAAGGCACAAUUACAAAAAUUGUGCUAACAUGAAUCUGAAAUGGCAUCUGACACAGGUGUCAGAACAGGACACAAAAAAAACCUUAUUUGUGCUCAAUGUUUGAGCACACAUGGCUGUAUCGUGCCCUCUAAUCAAUGGUGACGCCCAUAGAGGGCACAGACCCAAAGAUAGUAGCUGCAUUGUUGCUAUUGGUCUAUGGGCACAAUUGUUGGUGCUUUUUGAUCUCAAAGGGCACAUAUAAUUUAUUAUGCGCAGUGCUCAUUUUUUUUGUAGUGUAAACUCAAUAUUGAAGAAUUUAUUGGUAAGUUCAUCGCUUCUCAAUUUCGCAACCUUUUAAAUCAAUAAACUAAGCCUUCUAGCAUCUAAUUAAAACAAACAAACAAAACCAGAUACAAUUAAUCUUUUGCUCUUUGAAGACCAACUUUAGUAAGCUUUUUUAUGGUUCAUUAAACUCUUAUCUAAUUUUGUCGACCAAAUCACAAAACCCAUCUAAAGAAUACCUAAAUUGGUAUCCGUGCUAUUGCCGACAAAUCCAAAGUUUUAAAGGAAAACUAAUGAAAAAGGCUUGAAAACUUUGAGUUUUAAUGAUAAGGACAAAAUAAAGGGUAAAGUGAAUAGUACCAGGUUUGACUUUUUAGUGUAAAAAUGUGGUUUUUCGUUAAAGUGAACAGUACCUUGGGCUUUUCGUUAAAACUCCCAUAAUAAUUUGUUACAUGUUUCCCACUAUUUGCGUUUAUGCCAUAAAUCGAUUCUUAAAUUCAAGAAUUGCAUAAUAUAUUUGCUCAAUCGAAUUUCUCUUCAAUAUUAAUUGUGAUGUGAGUUUCAAACACCUAAAUGAAGCAGCAACUUAAAUCUUGGGUCUUUUGCUUGAUUUUGAGUUGGGUUGUGAGGAUCGGUGGUGCAUUGGAUAGAGAGAGACGCGGAGUUGCCUACAUCACUCUAGUCCCCAAAAAAAACACGUUCUUUAUAUUUUCUUAUGUCUCCUUCUAAGAAAUUUUGCAAUAAGGUAAGCUUGUCAUUAAAACUUUCAUUAAAAUGUGUGGAAUAAUAGACAAUGAGUGGCGGGACUGAGAUCCUCGCAGAAUGUCUUUUCUGCGGGUUUGAUAGACCCUUAAAUCUUUCUAUCUCUGUUCACUGCCUCCAUCUCCAACCUUCUCUUGGAUUUUGUUAUCAUUAAUUUUAUGGAGUUCUUAAUAGGAAAAAAAAAAUGUAAAUAUAGUUCUUGGGUUUUAAAAUUUUUUUUUUCUUUCAGAACCUAGACAUGAAGAGGCGGGGAAAAAAUCUAAUAGCGUAUCGGUAGCACAUUGCAAUCAAAGGGGAAAAAAUAAAGAGAUUAGAAAGAAAAACAGUGAGUUAUGAGUCUUGAUUACUAGUAUCCAUGGCGUAACAAAAAAAUCUAAUAGCGUAUCGGUAGCACAUUGCAAUCAAAGGGGAAAAAAUAAAGAGAUUAGAAAGAAAAACAGUGAGUUAUGAGUCUUGAUUACUAGUAUCCAUGGCGACGGUGUUACGAAUAGAGAGAGAGAGAGAGAGGAUAAAAUGGGACGGAAGAAAGAAACUAGAAGGGAGUGAGGUUAUUAACUACAUUGAGAAAGAAUCAAAGAACAAUAUGGAAUGUAAGAAAAUGAAAAACUUGAGAGAGAGAGAGAGAGAGAGAGAGAGAGAGAGAGAGAGAGAGAGAGAGAGAGAGAGAGAGAGAGAGAGAGAGAGAGAGAGAGAGAGAGAGUAAAUUGUAUGAAGUGUAUUUCAGACUUAAUGAAAUGGAUCAUCACAAUUACAGAAUUUUUGUACACACAUACAUCUAGCUUAAAGCUUCAUUCUUACACUUCUAACGACUAACUAAUCUUUUUAACAACUUAAUUAACAACUUUAGUAUGACAUGACAGCCUCAUUAACUAACCAAUGUUGAGCUGUCAUUUAUUAACACUCAACAAAGGCAACCUUGUUUCGUGUAAAAAAUAAAUAAAAAAUUUCUGGUUGUUUGAUCUGUGUGAACGGCCAAGAUUCAAGGAUCUGUCAUAUCCUCAUAAUUAAAGAGACGUGGAGAUGAUCCGGGUCUGGGGUGGGCAUAAUUAUGAUUAUUUGGUUUAUAAAUAAAAAAAAAAGAGUUAAUUUGACGGAUUUGGAUCCUCUCUGGAUCCAAAGGAUUUGAGCUUGAAUUUAUUCAUUAUCAACUUGCUUUUUCAUUGAUAAAUAAAAUAAAAGUUAUAAUAAUUGUAGUCGUUUGAUCAAAUUGGGAUUUGGAUCCUCUUCGGAUCCAAAGGAUCUGAGCUUGCAGAUCAAGUGAUAUGGGCCGUCCAAAUUUGAUCAAACGACUACAAUUAUUAUAACUUUUAGAGGGGCCCCCUGUUUGUAGCCGUUUGAUCAAAUUUUGACGGCCCAAAUCACUUGAUCCGCAAGCUCAGAUCAAGUGGAUCUGAAGAGGAUCCAAAUCCCAAUUUGACCACCUUUGAACUUUCCAAGUCAUCCCCUAGCCGUAGAAUGGUUGCCACCAAAAUAUUUCGCCUAAAGUAGUGUUGCACAUGUUGAAUAUUUGUUGGAUCGAAAAUAAUGCCUCUAGAAUUUCAUACAAUUUUUUUUUUUGUUGAACGAUGUUAUUUUCUCUAAGGGAAAGGGGAUAGGCUUAAUCUCACAAUGAACUAGCAAGAAUGUGGUUCAAAUUCGCAUUUGACGAGGAUCAAACCUAAGACCUUUCACUUACAAGUGAAAAAAAAUACCACUAAACUGUAGUACUAAAUAGCUAAAUUAAAAAAUAUAUUAAAAAAAAACCCUCAAUUGCAGCCAAUGUGUCAUAAAAGUAGUUUUACAAUUACUUUAGUUAAAAUAAGGUUUUCAAUUGCAUUGUUCAAAUGAACAGUUACUUGACGUGGAUUUUGAGCUAUUUACAAAAUUGCCACCACCUCUUCAGUUUCAGAUUGGAAAUUUUGGUUAUUUACGAAAUUGCCAACCCUUCAACUGUGCACGUAUCGACCAUCGUAGAAAGGGUGGGGUUGGAAACACACUUCGUUUCCGCUUGCUUCCUGAAACCCGAAGCCCCAAUUGCAUCCUUAGGAGAGUUGGGGAACGGGUGUCCAUUGCAGAGAGAUGAUGGUACUAGCUGAACAAAGUUUCUCUCUCAUCCCUAAUAUGUGCAUGUCAGAUCUUUGUCCUAAAUCCUGCCCCAAUAACACUUUAGAGGUAAAGUUCAACCUUCGUCCCGUUUAGUUCUUGUCCAGAGCGCAGAUUAGAUAGAGAUGAAUCAGAAAUGUCUCAUGUGUUGAUGCACAAAACCGGAGGUCUUGGAACAACGUAAAUCCGACCAUGAAUCUGUAAGAAAGUAAAUAACACAAGAUGUAUCGUGGUUCACCCCAAUGUUUGGACUACGUCCACACUGAUAUUGUAUUUCUCUAAGAGGAUUGAGGAUGAGAUGGUGAAAGUUUCUGAGGGUGAGAGAGCUCUUCCCAUAGCCUAAGAAUUGGCCUCCCCUAAUGAAGAGAGUGAGGGGUCAUUUUAUAGAAUAAGGGCUCCCCACUUAUUACAUAUUUGCCCAUUCGUUUAUUACAUAAUUACAUAUGAGUCCCCCGAGUAUUUAUACGAGAUCUAAAUACGGAGGCCCUAAGUUUGGUACAAAUAGUAGUCCCCCAAGUCUUCAGUCAAAAGAGUCUUUUGGUUAGAGACUUGAAAUUCAGUCCAUGUGUGGGCCGAAGUAACUAGAUGUUGUCUUGAACUGAUGCUCGAUAUGAGGCGGUGCUCAAUCUGAAGUGAUGCUCAACUAGAAGUGGCACAUGUUGCGAGGCUGCUCGGUUUGUGGCUUAUUUUUCUUUGGUUGGCUCGGCUUGUGGUGUUGAAGGUGAGGGAGUCCAUUUUAUAGAAUAAAGGAUCGCUCCUUAAUACAUAAGUGAUGGGCUAAGAGUGAUGCUCGCGGCGAGGCAGUUGCUCAGCUGGCGGCGAUGCUCUUUAAUGAAGGUGAGGGAGUCUCUUUUAUAAAAUAAGGGCUCGUUCCUCGGUACAUGAAUAAUGGGUUAGGAGUGAUGCUCGCAGCGAGGAGGUUGCUCAGCUGGCAGCAAUGCUCUCUAAUGAAGGUGAGGGAGUCCCUUUUAUAAAAUAAGGGCUCGCUCCUCAGUACAUGAAUAAUGGAUGCUCUCUAAUGAAAGUGAGGGAGUCCAUUUUAUAUAAUAAGGGUUCGCUCCUCAAUACAUAAAUAAUGGACUAAGUCCCCCAAGUAUUUUUCAUGAGGCCCAGUUAAGGAAGCCCAAUAUAUGGUACAUAGUGUAGUCCCCCAAGUCUUCAGUCAAUAGAGUUUGUUGGCUAGAAACUUCAAAUUGAAUCCAUGUAUGGGCCGAAGUGGUGGUUGUUCGGAAGCGGUAUUUGUAUACCAUGCACUGAAGCUUUGUAGGUGAAGCUUUUAAAGUGAAGCUUUGAAGCUGGAGCUCUGUAAAUGAAGCUUUGAAGCUGGAACUCUGUAAAUGAAGCUUUCGAAGCUGAUUGACAUGAGUGAUACUCAUGAAUGUUUAUGUUGAUUGACAUGAGUGAUGCUUAUGGAUGUUGACAUGAGUGAUGCUCAUGAAUGUUGACAUGAGUGAUGCUCAUGAAUGUUGACAUGAAUGUUUAUGUAUGAUUGACAUGAGUGAUGCUCAUGAAUGUUUAUGUAUGAUUGACAUGAGUGAUGCUCAUGUAUAAUUUUGGAGUACUGGACGUACUUUUGAUCACCUGGUUUGUGAUAAUAGCGGCAGGGUGCCGAAUAAUUUUGGAGUACUGGGCAUACUUUUGAUCACCUGGUUAAUGAUAAUAGCGGUAGGGUGCCGAAUAAUUUUGGAGUACUAUGCGUACUUUUGAUCACCUGGUUGGUGAUAAUGGCGGCAGACUGCCGAAUAAUUUUUUGGAGUACUGGGCGUACUUUUGAUCACCUGGUUGGUGAUAAUAGCGAGUCUGGCUCUUUUGGGCAUAUGGGCCUUCGCCCUCCACAUAACAUUCCAGCCCAUUAUUUUGGGCUUGCCGUUUUUUUUUAAUUACCCUCUGAUGGGGUUUAUACAGAUGUCUCCGAAAGAUAAGAAAAAUAAAUCCGACCCUCUGCUCAAUGGGUCACGCCCAUAAUUCUCUUUUCUGCAUGCCAUCACCACGACAAUUAUGUCUGCUUCUUUUUAUCUUCUUUUGCCUUCUGCUUUUGCUUUUGCUUUUGCUUUUACUUUCUCUUUUCACUUUCUCAGAAAAUGAUUUCACAUGGUUUUCUCCUUUUGCUUUCUCAGAAAUCAGAAAAUGAUUUCACAUGCCUGAAACCGCGAGCACAUGGCUUUCUCCUUUUGCUUUCUCAGAAAAUGAUUUCACAUGGCUUUCUCCUUUUGCUUUCUCAGAAAAUGAUUUGCUACCACCCUGUAAAGAAGAUGCAGGGAAUGAGUCACGACUAAGCACUUCUGGUUGGUACUGCAACCCAUAGAACCUCCUGGCCAGGCUCUCAAUUGCAGCCACCGAUGCAGCAAAAUAGGGCAGCAAUGAAUUGAUAGGUGACAAAGCGUUGCUGGUAGCCCUUUUUUUAGCAAAUAUUGGAGCUUAUCAUACUUCAUGAUGACCAAUUUUUGAAGCAAUGAGAGAUUUCCGAGCACCUCCGAUAUGGAUCCAAGAUCUGGAAGUCUUUGGAUGAUGAAGGAUGUUAUAUUGUUGGGAAGAAGGUACUCUUUUGGGAAGGAUACAAGGUCAGGAAACCCACCGACAGUGAGAUCAUGAAGAGAGUGGAGUUUGUGAAGCCUCCAUUCAUCUCAAACUCUCUUGCUUUUCCAAACUUCUUCUUCCCCUCUCUCUCUUUCACUAUCUUUAAUUUUCUACCAUUAGCAGCCUCUGAAAAGAAAGGGAAACCGUGGCAAGAAAAAGUCAAUAAUACUGAGAAAACAUAAGAAAGCCACCAAAAGCUGACAAGAGAAAAAGUCAAGAAUACAGCCCAUAAUACUGAGAAAACAUAAGAAAACACCAGAGUUCAUCUUCCCAUCGCCGUGGCCGACUUGCUCUUUUCUUCUUUUGUUUUUUUUUUCUUUUUGCUUUCUCUUUUCUGCUUUUUUUUCUUUUUUUCUUUUUGCUUUCUCUUUUCUGCUCAGUGCUCCCUCUGUUUGAACUUUGCACUUUACACUUUGCCGUUUUCAGCGUUUUCUGACCAAUCAGAGCUCGCCACCACGGGGGUUUGCACAGCCUUGACGAGCACAACCUUGACACACAGAGCAACACUAGGAGGUGAAACAAGUCCUAAAAGAGCUCAAACGAGGAUAAUCCAAUGGCGGAUAAGUCGUCGUGAAGAUGGGAACUCGGAACAGUUGUAACCGCCAUCACCGAGUUGAAUCGUUGGGACAGAGUGAGCUGAGUUCAUAAGCAAGAGAGAGAGAGCCGAGUUGGAGCUCACUACGAACUCGUCAAGGGAGUUCAGGGCCGAGUUGGAGUCGGGUCGGGUUGAGGGGCUGACAGGAGAGUGGUGUCGGGAGUGCGAUUUGAUGAAACCCCAGGAAAAUGAAAAGUGAAAGUAGAGCAUGAAUGUAUCUAGCCAGAUCUUAUGUCCUCAGCUCUUCAUGGUUGUAAAUCUCUCCAUUCAUCGUGACAACGAUUGACUUGUCCUCGUUGUAGAGAGGUUGAUCACUAGAGGCAGGGUCAAUGAUGGCCAACUUCUGAUGAGCCAAAAAAACAAUCUCCAUGCUGGUACAGCCCACUCCAGUUAGGUCCACGAUGCUUCAAUCUGCGCGAAAGCUCAAGAAUCGGACCCUCUUGACGAGAUUUUUCUUGCGGUGUUGGGCAAACACGUUACAAAAAAUACCGAUAUUUCAGACGGAUCCCUUAGAUGCUCGAUGCAGCCUCUUCUCUGGUGGGCUUAGGCUCUCUUGAGGGCUUGUGUUCCCUUUAAUGUAGUCUGUUGCCUUCACCUUUGGAAAAAUGCAAAAAAUGUGCUUCUGCUUUGCCUCUGAAACAAAGAGGCAUAAUAGAAUGCUAACCAUCCUUUGGUCUUGAUUUCAUGCUGAAUGGUGGAACCAAGAAUCAAUAAAAGCCUUGUCCAGAUUUGCUGUUGGAAGAGUGACACUCAUCACCCUGUAGAUGAGCCAAUGCACCCGCCGCCGAGACGCAAAACAGAUAAGAGAAUAAAGGAGUGUUGAGGUGGUGUAUGGCUCAAACCCACACAUUAUUUUUCUUCUCUCUCCUGGUCCUCACAGAAAUCAGAAAAUGAAAGUUGGCGUAGUACUCACUAAAUGAAAGCUGACAAAAAUCAGAAAAUGAAAGCUGGCGCAGAUUCACGGCAGAGGUGAAAAAAUGAAAGAGAACCGACACAACUUUUCAUAUCGAUUCCCACAGACAGCGCCAAAUGUUGAUGCACAAAACCGGAGGUCUUGGAACAACAUAAAUUCGACCGUGAAUCUGCAAGAAAGUAAAUAACACAAGAUGUAUCAUGGUUCACCCCAAUGUUUGGGCUACAUCCACACUGAUAUUGUAUUUCUCUAAGAGGAUUGAGGAUGAGAGGGUGAGAGCUUCUGAGGGUGAGAGAGCUCUUCCCAUGGCCUAAGAAUUGGCCUCCCCUAAUGAGGAGAGUGAGGGGUCCUUUAAUAGAAUAAGGGCUCCUCACUUAUUACAUAUUUGCCCAUUCGUUUAUUACAUAAUUACAUUUGAGUCCUCCGAGUAUUUAUACGAGAUCUAAAUACGGAGGCCCUAAGUAUGGUACAAACAUCAUGCAUGUUUGUUCUCUGUGUAAGGUACCUCGAUUGAUGACGAUGAUAUCAAAGAGCAGCUCAAAUCACAAAUUCAAAGGCUGAAAAUUGUGCAGAUACCACAUGAUUCUCAUAUAUCCAAAAGGUAAGGUAAAAAUCUGACACAUCCGAAAAUGAUUUGACAAGUAAAAUCUUAUUUAUUAGGUUGUCUUCUCCCCAAUUUUAAAGGAUUAGGAUUCUCUCAUCUCAUCUUUCCAUCUCCUUCUAUCUCAUCCCUCUCACAUUCUUUUAUUUUGUCUUUCUCUUGCUAUAAAAAAAUUAAUAUAAGAUGUUGACGUGUCUUAAUCGUGACCCUUCAAUUAGGAGGUAAGGAAAGCUGAGGGAAAAAAAAAGGGAGAGAAUCCUACUCCCAAGUAAUAAUUAGUUCUAUCUUCCCUCCCCCUUCUAUCCUAUUCAUUAAAGAAAAAGACUAUUUACCCUAUGCGAUUUAGCCUCCGUACUUCUUACUCAAGAAAAGAAAAAGAAUUUUCUUUUAGUUCACAAUUAAAUCCCUAUCUCUACAAUUCCUUACUUUUCAUUGUAAUUUUCCAAUGAAUGCAACCUUCGAUAUGUUCUUAAUCGCCUUAUUUACUUAUUCUUGGUUUAUUUAGCAUGUUAAUUAUUUAUAUGGUCAUGAAGUUAUCAGUUAGGGUUAUGAUUUUAAGAAUUGUUUAUAUUUUAUUGUCAUUUUUUUUAUUGAUUAAAAAAUAAACAUAUGAUUUUAUAGUACUAAUUUCAACUAGCCCACCCAAAAAAAAAAAAUCCUAACUCUGCUAUUGGUUAAGUUGUGAGGAUCGGUGGUGCAUCAGAGAGAGACAGAGAGACGCAGAGCUACCUACGUCACUCCAGUCCCAAAAAAAAACACUUUCUUUAUAUUUUAUUAUGUCUCCUUCUAUGAAAUUUUGCAAUAAGGUAAGCUUGUCAUUAAAACUUUCAUUAUAAAGGAAAAGGAUCCGGCAACCGUUCAUAGUACAUUGGGCGGUCAAUUUUCGUUAUAUAUUAUUUAUAUUUAUUUUAAAUGUUAAAAUGAUUUUUGACCGCACAAUAUACGAUAAACGGUCAUAAUCAUAGGAUCCCUAAGAUCUCGCUGGAUCCUUUUCCUAUUAUAAAGUGGGUGGAAUAAUAGACAAUAAGUGGCGGGACUGAGUCUGAGAUCCUCGCAGGAUCUCUUUUCUACGGUUUGACAGACCCUUAAAUCCUGCUCGUUCACACAAAUCAAACGACCAUAAAUAAAUCACAAAAACGACGCAGUACCACCAUUUUCUUCUAUUCACUUAUGCUCUCUCCUCUUUCUAUUUCUGUUCACAGCCUCCAUCUCCAACCUUCUUCCUGGAUUUUGUUAUCAUUAAUUCCAUGGAGUUCUUAAUAGGAAAAAAAAUGCAAAAAUAGUUCUUGGUUUUUUUUAUAAAUUUUUUUUCAGAACCUAGACAUGAAGAGAGGCAGGGAAAAUUUCUAAUAGCAUAUCGGUGGAAAAUUGCAAUCAAAGGGGAAAAAUAAAGAGAUUAGAAAGAAAAACAGUGAAUUAUGAGUCUUGAUUACUGAUGUCCAUGGCGAUGGUGCUAUGAAUAGAGAGAGAGAGAGAGAGAGAGAGAGAGAGAGAGAGAGAGAGAGAGAGAGAGAGAGAGAGAGAGAGAGAGAGAGAGAGAGUGAAGAUAAAACGGAACGGAAGGUAGAAACUAGAAAGGGGUGGUUUACCCAAAAAAAAUAAAAAACUAGAAAGGGGUGAGGCUAUUAACUACAUUGAGAAAGAAUCAAAGAGCAAUAAGAAAUGUAGGAAAAUGGAGUACUAGAGAGAGAAACAAUUGAGAGAGAGAGAGAGAGAGAGAGAGAGAGAGAGAGAGUACACUGUAUAAAGUGUAUUUAAGACUUAAUGAAAUGGAUCAUCAAAAUUACAGAGUUUUUGUACACACAUAUAUCUAGAUUAAAGAUUCAUUCUUACACUUCUAAGUGACUAACUAAUUUUUUUAACAAUCUAACAGCUUUAGUAUGACAUGGCAGUCUCACUAACUAAUUAAUGUUGAGCUGUCACGACACUCAACAGAGGCAAUCUCGUUUGGUGUGAAUUUUUUUUUAAUUUUAUUUAUGGUCGUUUGAUAUGUGUGAACGAUCAAGAUUCAAGAAUCCGUCGGAUCCGCAUAAUUAAAGAGACCUGGAGAUGAUCUGAGUCCGGGGUGGGCAUAUUAUGAUUAUUUUAUUUAUAAAAAAAAUUCAUUUAAUUUGACUACCUUUGAACUUUCUAAGUUGGGAACUUGCCGAAGAAUGGUUGCCGCCAUAAUAUUUCGCUAAGGUAGUGUUGCACAUGCUGAAUAUUUGUUGCUGCAAGUUUGUAAUUUUAUUUGCUACUUGAUGCAAAGGAUUGUGACUCAAGUGAACAAAUUCAGAGUUUUACGGAUAUAAUUUGGUUCUUUUUAAUACAUAAUAUUACAAAGGCCUAGAAAUUUUUCUUGAAGGAAUAUGGUAACAUGUUUUCCACAUCUUGGCCUGCAAUUUAUGUGAAGGGGUAUUAGUGUGUGUUAUUUGCUUUGGUAAGAUGUGUGUUAUCUGCAUUGGUGUUGGUAAGAUAUGUGUUAUCUGCAUUGGUGCAUUUGAGGGUGUGAUUCACUUCCUACCUCUUUUUUAGUGCAUAUUUUUGUGCAAAUUAUUCUUGCCUAUUAUGACUAAUACAUUCAAUUCCCGCAACGAAGCAUGCGCGAGUUUUCUAAUGAUUUCUAAAGUUGUUCACAUCAAUAAUUAAAAACUGUGAGUGUCAACUUACUUUUCUUCCUUUCCAAAAAGUGGACUGUCUUUUUAUGAAAUCUUAAUUGCACAAUUUUAUGAUAAAAAAUGUAUGAGAAUUAUAAACUUCUAUUCUUUAUUUCGGAUUUGGAUCCUCUUGAUCAAUCAUUGUGGGCCGUUGGAUAAAAAUCCAACGGCUAUAAUUAUAAUAACUUUAAAAGGACUUCUCUGUUUGUAGCCGUUGGAUAAAAAUCCAACGGCCCACGAUGACUGGUCAGGAGGAUCCUCUCCAUUAGCCCAGGAGAGGAUCCAAAUCCCUUUAUUUCAUCGGAGGACAACCAAAUAAGGUAAAACACACUAUCUCCCAAAACUAACAAGGAGAGCAAGAACAAAGGCGCUCCUGAAUCCAAACUAUAAUUUGAGCAUUGCGAUUAAACAAACUUGGCAUAUGGUCUCUGGCGGCCUUUUGCCUUCUCAAGAUUGAUCAAUCUAUGCUUGGCUGCGCUGGUUACUUAAGUCUUGUGCAAGAAAACUAUCAGAAAGCAGUGACUUCAUAUUCUCCACAAGGCUUGGAAGGCUAUGUUGAGAAUUAUAAUCAUACAUCAAUGGGACCAUUCUAGCAACAUUAAGAGCAAGUUUUAUAAAGGAUGCUGAAAAUGGAUUUGAUGCAGACAAACAUUCUUGGUUGAGGAACUUCCAUUCUUCCGAAAUCCUAUGGACAACGAAUGCUCGUGCAUCUUCCUCUGAACAACCUUGAUUUUCAUUCAUGUAACACUCUAUGUAUGAACUAUCAUUUCCAUCUUGGUCCUCAUCCUGCAAUUAAUCCAGAAAAUAUCCUUACAAUACUAUAUUUUUAUAAACAAGUGCUAAAUGUAACUCAAACUAACCAUAUCAAAAUACAAGUACGAAACUUGGCACUUCCAGAGUCAUCCCAUAGCCGAAGAAUUUUUUCGGUUGAAGAUAUAAUGCUAGAUAUGUUGAUGUUGUCCAGAAUACGUACAGUUUCCUUGCUUAUACCUUGACCCAGUAAGAAGAAUGCAUGUGUUAGAACCACAUGCACCCCUGAACUGAUGAACCCGUUGUUCAAGUACUCUUCACUUUUUGGCAAGUGCCUGCAACUAAACCAUCGUGCUUCUAGUUGUUUGGAUCAAAACUUGAACUUUGGGCUCAAGAAAUGAGCUGGCCCAAAAUGAGGCCCGAAGGGAAAGACAGCCGAAGCCCAGUUAAAGCCCAUAAGGCAGAAAGGGCCUUUUCUGACUUGGUGCAGCUUAUGAAGACCACUUGCUUACCUACCCAAAAGCCAAGUGGUGUAGACUGAUCAGCUACACAUCCCAUAAAGCACUUUAUGGUGGCAUUACAUGUAAAAUAGCUUAUGAGUCAUCACCCUCAAACCGUAUUCGGGUAAGGCUGCUGCUACAGAAGGCCAAGCCGAGUUGUCUAUAUAAGAAGAAAGAGAAACCAGGAAUAAGGACACUCAAUCAAACAAACAAAUGCAAGCACAAACUCUGCUCAAAGCUAGAUUUGCCUUCAAACAAAGCUGUAGUCAGCCUUCAUCCCUCUCGGGACAAGCCUUCAUCCCUCGCGGGAUAACCCUCCCUUCAAACCUUUGUAAUAGCUCUGCUACCCUGUUCAACCUUGCUGUAGUAUCGAUUCAUCUUUUGUAAUCCCUCUCUCUAUCCCUCUAAGCUGUCAGACCCUUGACAAAACUACAAAGAUAGGAACCUACAGGACGAGCAGCCUUACCUGAUAAGGUUUAACCUUGCCCGACCUUCUUUGCUUUGUUUUUGUCUUUUCAAUAUGUUGUAUACGUCCAGUUGUAUGCAAGUUAUUUCUAGCAAUAUGACUAUUAAAAGGCUUUCUCAAUACUUGAAUCCGAUUUGAAUAUAUCUUCAGUGUUCAAACCAGAUCCAAGUCCUAAGCCCUCGGGCAUGUAAAUCUGAUCGGUUAAAAGUCCUUGGCCUCAAGGCAUAAAAAAGAACCUUAUGUGGACUUAACCCAUCCACGACAGUCCUUGAUAAACGAGAAGUCCGAAGUUACUUUGGGCACAAGUAAUCGACCUACCCUCUAGUUUUAUUUCUAUUAUGUUAUGAUUACCAUAGAACGCUUGAGCAUGAAGUGGAUUCUGAUGGAAAGCCUCAAGGCCUACACCUAAGGCCCCACAAAGGCAUCCAUUUGGAUUCAUUCCGUUCUGCGAUCUAGAGAGUCUAAGUAUAAGGAUGAACUCUGAUGGGAAGCCUCAAGGCCUAGGCUACACCUAAGGCCCCACAAAGGCACCUAUUUGGGUUCAUUCUACUUCUUGGACUCGGGUAAUCAGAAGUAUAAUAGUUAGAAAACUCCGGCAAUCACAAGAACAAAUAUGAUGUGUUUGAGCACUGGUUUAGUUAUUUAUGGGAAGCUUCAAGGCCUACACCUAAGGCCCCACAAAGGCACCUGUUAUAACUAACACGGUUUCUCGGAUAUAUACAUAUAUACAAUUAAAACUCGACAUCCAUUUUACAUCUACCAUGCUGAAGAUGGCAGUGGCACGCCUGAGCACCUAAAAGUUAACCUUGAUUGUGAACCUCAAGGCCUAUACCUAAGGCCCCACAAAGACACCUCUCAAAGUUAACGUUGUCCUUCUCUUUCAGCUUUGCCCGACGAGCCUUGCCCGAAGAGUAUUGCCCGACAAGACUUGCCCGACAAAGCCCGAUAGCGAAGCAGAAGCCCGAUAGCAGCCCUCAACCGGCGCCAACCUCCAGAGGAGCUGUGUGCUCGUCGGCCAGGAAACAUCCCCGACAGAAAUUCCUGACGCGAACACUAGUAGGAACGCUUUGCAUAAUGUUGCCCACUGCAUGCAUGCAGUACUAUAUUAUUAACAAUAAAUCCAAAUCUGAAUUGUAAUGCGUAAGUCAUUGAAUCGAAGUUAACUUAUAUACCGAUUUUUUAAGGGGCUCUAGAGGGUUCCAUCCAUGCCUUUUGUGCACAAUGUAGCUGGUUUCAUUGGUAACGUCAUAAAGAGCCUUAAAACAUAUCUUCAUGUAAUUCGGUAGUUCAAAUUAAGGUGAGUAUAAAAUGUAUAUUGUAUUUCUAUAUUAUGAUUUACAAUAGAGAUGCUCUUUAUAGGAGCCAAAGGAGUGGACAACAACUAAUGGAAAUAGUAAAGAAAGACUAAUGGACAAUUAGUGGACUAGACAAAAUUAUGAAAGGCAUGUCUAAUGGAAGUACUCAUGAAAGGCUAGUGGACAAGCAAUCAAUGUGUUGAGAAGAAGAUUCCCUUUUACGCCCCCGCAAGACGGUGGUCCUGUCAGAGACACCGAUCUUGGAUCGUAACAAUUGGAAGCGUGGACGAGGAAGAGCUUUUGUGAGGACGUCUGCAAGCUGAUCCUGAGUAGAAACAUGUGAAACUUGAAGAAGCCCGUGAUUGAUGCGAUCACGAACAAACUGAAAAUCAAGUUCAAUGUGCUUCAUGCGAGAGUGAAGAAUAGGAUUGACACUAUAAAAAGUUGCCCUAAUAUUGUCGCAGGAAAUGGUUGGCUUAUCCAUUGAGGAGACACCAAGCUCAUGGAUAAGGGAUUGAAGCCAAGCUAGUUCAGCAGUAAUAGAGGCUAUGGCGCGGUAUUCUGCUUCCGUAGACGAUCGAGCGACAAAACAUUGUUUGCGAGAGCUUCAAGAGAUUAAGUUGCCACCCAAAUAGAUGACAUAACCCGUGGUAGACUUACGGUCAUCACGAUCACCAGCCCAGUCAGCGUCUGAGAAGGCAUAUAGACGAGAUGAGGCACUGCGGUGGAAGAGAAUGCCAUGAAAAACAAUGCCUUUUAGAUAGUGGAUGAGACGUUUCAAGGCCUGCCAAUGAGACUCAGUGGGUCGAUGCAUGAACUGUGAGAGUUUGUUGAUGGUAAAUGAGAUGUCAGGGCGGGUGAGACUGAGGUAUUGGAGACCUCCAACAAGUUGUCGAAAGGUAGUAGCAUCAGUGAGAGGUGAGCCAUCAGAGAGAAUCAAAGGAGUAGAGGUAGCCAUUGGUGUGGUCACAUCCUUAGCAUCAUCCAUUUUAGCUUUAGCGAGAAGAUCAUGGAUGUAUUUAUGUUGAGAAAGAAACAAACCCGUGGUGGUGGGUAUCACUUCAACCAAGGAAAGGAAAUGAAGGUUCCCAAAUCUUUGACAAAAAACGAUUUCCAAGACUUGAAUGAACAUAGAGAGGAGACUGGUAUAUAUUUAUUUCCUGUAAGAAUAAAGAAGAUCAUCAAUCAACAUAAACUAGAAGGAAUAUCACAUCAUUAUCCUGACGAAAAAUAAAGAGAGAGAUAUCUGAGAUGGCAUUGAUACAAAUCCUUGAUUGAGCAAAAAGGUGCUCAACUCCUUGUACCAUGAUCGGGGCCUGCUGCUUGAGGCCAUAUAAAGCUUUGCGAAGUUUGCAGACAUGUGUUGGAAUGGUAAAUUCACGAAUAACUGUUGACCAUGGGGAAUUGUACCCAUGUGGUUUUCAAACAAUCAUUUCAGGAUAGUGAUCCAUGCAAAAAGCAUUGUUCACGUCUAAUUAUUGACGAAGAGGCCAACCCAACCAUGUUUGAGUGAGCCAAAUGAAGAAACAAUACGGAUGGUGGUGAGUUUUGAAAACACAACUGACUGAAGGUGUUUUAAGAGAAAUCCACGCCAGAGACAUUGGUGAAAGCCUUUAGCACAAAGGCGUGCUUUGUACCUAUCAAUGUUGUGCAUGGAAUGUGCAAGCCAUUUCAGAUUCAUUGUGAAUCUUUUUGAUGCGGAAGACCCCAUUGCAACGCCCGAUAGAGAUUCUGUGAAGGCUUGUUAAGGAGGAAGGAACAAGCUCCCAUGUGCCAUUGCGGAUUAAACGCCUUAAAAACUCGGACGACACUUGCUGGCACGAGCCAAAGAGGGAUCUUUUAAUAGCCUGCAGAAACACAUGUUGGUUCAAUGGAAGGAAGUGGGAAUGUGGUGCUUUGGUGGCAGUUGGGAAAUUGUUUUUUAGGUCUUUAAGAUAUUGUUUUUGGCUUCUGGUAAUAUGGGGUGAUGGUUGAAAUUAUUAGGUGGUGGUGGUGGUGGGGUAAAGGAAUGUAUUUGGAUGUGGUGGUGGGGGUAAAGGAAUGAUAGAGGGGUGUGGUGAUGGGUAUGAGAUGAGAUGAUGUUGAGGAGGAGGGGGUAAGUAGUCGCAAAUGGUGAUGGUGCAGCGGCAGAGAAAACACAAAACUCCGAGACCUCCGUAAAGAUGUAUGAAUGGCAGCAUGCUGAGAAGAGGUGUGUGUGAGGAACUGGUGGCACUUCGGGCAAUGUGAGCAGGAAUGGAGAUGGCGGCUUGAGUGACAGGAGACCAUGCAGUGGAGUCGGGGGAAGGAACUGAAGGGAGUGCAAAACAGAGUCAAAAGAAGAAAAGGAAAGUGUUUUCAUCAAAUCGAACGUGACGGGAAACAAACAUACGACGGAAAGGGAGAUCAAGACAUAGAUAAGCACUUUGAGUAGAGGAGUAACCAAGAAAGAGACAUGGACGAGAUCGAGGAAGAAGCUUGUUGGAAUUAUAGGGUCUUAACCAAGGGAAACAUAAGCAACCAAACACACGAAGCUUAAUGUAGUUAGGAAGAUCACCAAAGAGAGCUUUGUAUGGAGAUAUAUUAUUGAGAACAUGAGUGGGCAUCCUAUUAAUAAGAUACACAGCAGUUUUGAAAGCAUAAUGACCAAUAAUAAGUUACAAAGAUAGGGGUAAGGAUGCUUGGUGGAGAAGUGUUAACCCUGUUUUCGACAACAUGGCGGUGGCGGCGUUCAGUACAACACCAUGUGUUCAGAAGUGUGUGGAUGAGUGGUGAGGUGAGUGAUGCCAUUUGUGGAAAAGAAAAUGUUUGAGUUUAACAUAUUCUCCUCCUCCGUCAGAGUAGAAGGUGAUUAUUUUGGUGUGGAAGUAGUUUUCUACAAGAGCUUUAAAGGUUGUGAAGAUUGAGAAAACAUCGGAUUUGUGUUUCAUGGGAUAAAACCAAAUAUAUUUCGUGAAAUGAUCGACAAAGAUAACAUAGUAUGAAAAACCAUCAGUAGAUAAAUAGGAGGAGCAGGGACUUAUACAUACAUCACUAUAAAUUAGUUCAAGGGGACGCUUACUAACAAGCGUAGAAUGACCAAACGGGAGCUUGUGGCUCUUAUUGCAAUGACAAGAAGUGCAAAGGAGUUGAAGACAUAGGAAUUGAGGAGGUACGUUGGAUUUGAAGAUAGGUUCGAUGGUUGGGGUGACCAAGCCUACGGUGCCACACAUUGGAGGAGUCCAUCACACUACUCAUAACUUGUUUUUGAGGCAUCAAGCACGGCCACUCAUAUGUAUCGUUCUUAUUCGGGCCUCGAAGAAGUGCCGCUCCCAUGUUGAGAUCCUUGACAAGAAAGGAAUCAGGAAAAAAUUCAAUAGAGGUGGCAUUUUGUCUAUUAAAUUUGGCAAUGGAAAUAAUAUUACGGGAAAUGGAAGGAACACAAAGGACACCAUUUAAGUGAAAUGGGGUGGUAGAGGAAGAAGAGAGUGAUGUGGAACCAACAUGUGUAAUACUUAAACCUGUUCCAUUACCAAAUAACAAUUUGAUCAGGACCAUCAUAGGUAGUGGAGUCCGGAUGUUCCUGGAGUCAGAAGUAAGACAUGGUGAGAGCACUCGAGUCGAGCAGCCAAGCAGCCAAGGAGAUGAUGUUGAGGGGCGGAUAGUGGUGUGGUUGACCAUGGGUGGAGCGGAAGAAAGUUGAGGGCAACGUUUUGCACUAUAUGCCCUUGAGUACCACACCAAUGACACAAAACCACGAUACCCCGUAUAGAGAACGAUGAUGAUUGGAGUUUGUGGUGGUUAGCACGGUUAGAGUUGUAGGUGGUAUUUGUUGGACGCUGCUGGGAGGCUUGUGUGGCCCUGAAGUCACGCUAGAAGGAGCGGGGAGCUUAAGCAACAAGGGCAGUCAUAGGAGUAACAGCAGCUGGUGGUGCAUCUCGUUGGAGGAAAGUUUCAUGUUCAAUGAGUUUGUCAUACCGAUUUUCAAAAGAGAUGGAGGUAUCGCUAGCUCGAACAACGACAACGAUUUCUUUGAAGGCAGGUCCAACACCAUUGAGGACGUGUAGAACAACAUCAUCGUCGGAGAGUGGAGAAUCAAUGAUGGCAAGCUCAUCAAUGAUAACUUUGAUAGCUUGUAGAAAAACUGACACAGGUUGUGUAUCGCGACGCAUGAGCGUAAGACGCUCUUUGAGGUUGAGAACCCGAGAGCGUGUUUUGUUGGCGUAGAGCUUGGUGAGCUUGUCCCAAGCCUCCUUAGAUGUUUUAGAGAAGGAAAUGAGAUAUAUAAUCUGUUCAGAGACAGAAGCUAAGAUAGCAUGUAGUAGCAGCUGAUCUUGACGAAUCCAGAAGGUGUAGCACACAGUAGAGGAGGCAGCAGGACGUGGUUUUGAUCCAUCAAUGUAACCCAUCAGGUCAUACCCAAGAAGCAGGGCAUUGAAUUGAGCUCGCCAUGAAGGAAAGUUGGUGGGUGUGAGUUUUAGAGGUAACUGAGCAGCAGCGUUAAUGGUGAUAGGGGUGGGCAAGGGGGGUGAGUUGGUGGAUUCAGCCAUGAGGAUCGGAAAAAAAAUUGCUCGAUGGAGCUUUGUUGCUCUUGAUACCAAAUUAAGGUGAGUAUAAAAUGUAUAUUGUAUUUCUAUAUUAUGAUUUACAAUAGAGAUGCUCCUUAUAGGAGCCAAAGGAGCGGGCAACAACUAAUGGAAAUAGUAAAGAAAGACUAAUGGACAAUUAGUGGACUAGACAAAAUUAUGAAAGGCAUGUCUAAUGGAAGUACUCGUGAAAGGCUAGUAGACAAGCAAUCAAUUUGUUGAGAAGAAGAUUCCCUUUUAGUUCACCAGUUGCAUCAAUAUCCCAUCUGCAAAUAAUUAAUUACAUGCGUUAAUGUCAGCGCAAGUGACUAUGAAUUAGACCGCUGAUAGUCAUGCAUGAUUCAAAUUCACAAUCUAGCAACAUAUUCACAUUUUAUUUGCACACUAGUGUAACAUGUAGGAUAUCAUAAAACCACACAAGUACACGAACCUCUCAACUGCAGCUGUGAAGAGAAUGAGUUCAUCGAGGGUGCCCUGAACAUCAAAAAUAUCGUCAAUUAUGUAGACAAGAGAGAUCGAUUUUGUGAGUUCAACCCUUUCCUCUGAUAAGCUUGGAUCUGCUAGGCAUGCCAUCGGCCACGUAUACCAUUUAAUUGGCUGGUCUCUCACGAACUUCAACUCCUUAGUCAAGCCUAGUUCUUUCCACCACCUAAUUAUUACGAUGAAAAAUAUUUUCAUUAAUUAAAAAGGAGUACUAACUUAAAAUCAGUGUCUAGUGUCUUUGGAUCUGAACUCACUUGGAUACUUGUUGAACUUCAUUUCGGAUUAGAGAUUCAACCAUGUUGAACUCUAGUUUUGCUAGCUCCCGCAAAACAUUGACCCAUUUCUCCUUCCCUUCGAAAUUAUUUAAGUAGUUCUUAGCCAUGAAUCUUGUCAAGCUCUUGUGAUAAGGAUGCUCUAAUGAGUACGCGAAGGAUGAAGCUUGAUGAUCAUCGAGGUUGUUUUUCAUCCAAUCCGUGAGAAGCUGGUGGCUUCGCCUUCCAGCUUCAUCAAGUGACUCUUCUCCUGGGAAGCUCAAAUGAGAUGCUUCAUAUAAUCCUACUAAUCCGCUUAUGUCGACUUCCUUGUUGUUCUUGAACUUAUUAAAUAUUGCAUCUGUUAAUCACAAGGAAAAUUAAUUACUUUGUAGUAAUGGUGACAUUAGCUUUCAGAGUAAUGUUAGACAGACCAAAUUUUUCAACCAAAUUUGACAUUUGUAUCAACAAACAAACAAAUAAAUGUUCACUUGGUCGUUUUAAUAAAAUAACAUUUUGCAGUAAAGUUAGGACAAAAAGAGAAUUGAGACCAACCUGUGGUUACAUGAUAACCUUGUUGUCUCAGUAGUCGAAAACGAAGUGAAACCACACCAAGUUCAUCACUGCCUUCAUCACCAUAAGCUCUCGUGCAUUGCUUUUUUUAAAUUGCUUCAAUCUCCUCUUGGAAAUGAUAGUCAACGCCUAGGCGUUGCAUGGCGUCAACCGCAAUCAAUUGUUCAUCUUCUCCGAUGUUUGCGAGUGCAUCCUUCAAUUCCUUCAAUUUCUUUGCAUAGCGAACCUGAAGGUCGCCCUAAAAGGGGAAACAUUGAACUUAGCAUGAUAAGCAAACACUAGGCUGAAAUUACAUAGUAAAAAAAUAAAGGUGAAUUGUCAAUUUAGUUUCCGAAUUAUCAUCUGAGUGAAAAUAAGUUCCUAUACUAUUUUUUCAGUCUGUGAAUUAUAAAAAUCUGCUAAUUACAUUCUUAAUAUUAGAUACGAAGCUACUAUAUUCAAUUUUCUGUCAAUUUAAGUCACGUUACUUGCAUGUGAUUCACAUUGGAAGGUAGAUUGAUAUUUUUUCAAAAGACAGUGUAUAGAGUUAACUUAGGAGGGUAAAUUAGACGUUACAUUCGCAACCUAUAUGAAAUGUUAAAGGCUUAUAAGCGAGAAAAUGAUAGUAUUAUACUCUAAAGUAACAAGUGACUUAAGUUGACGAAAAAUUGGAUAAAAUAGCUUUGAAUAUAAUAGUAUGAAUGAUAUUAGCAAUUUUUUAUCAAUUUAGGUACUUAUUUUACUGAAAAAAUAAUUCUAGGACCUAAUUUUCUUUAAGGUGAUAUUUUAAGGACUAAAUCGGCACUUUAUUCUAAAAGAAAAAGAGAGAGAAGAUAGUGUGUGGAGUAAUUAAGUAACCAAGUAGUGUUAGUUUUGGUACAUGAGUAGUGGAUUUGUGGAGCAAUUUGGACACUAAUGUGUAUAUAAAAUAUAUAUAUAUAUAUAUAUAUAUAUAUAUAUCUAUAUGUUGGGUUAUUAUUUUUGGAACUUACAAUAACUUGUCCCUUGGAGGAAGCAGAGUGAGCUUGAAGGAAGUGUGCCAUUUUCUACAAGAAAGAAAUUAAGAAAUUCCAGUUUUGGAUGAGAGAAAAUACUUGUUGGGAAUGAAGUGAGGUGAUCAGCUCAUGGUGAUUCCUAGUGAAUUUAUAGGGCAAUGUCUCUUGGCAUCCAAUGCAAUGGAGCAUGCGGAGCAGUGGCGGAGCCACAUGGAGACUAGGGUAGUCCAGGGCCUAUCCUGGAAAUAAAUUUAUAGCGAUUAUGUAGUAAAUUUUGCAGUAAUGUGCAAGUGGUGUGUUGGUAUGUUAGGUUUUAAUGGUUUCAUUAGGUCUUGGGGUCGAUGCUUGCUGACGAAAAGCUAUUUUUUGGUAUUUUUUACCAAUUAUCAUAUAUAACUAACCUUCUGCUAACAUUCUGAUUUCUUUUAACCAAUUAUUUUUGUGUUAGUUCAUAUAAAACAAGGUAUAUAUAUUCGGGAGGAAGAUUAAAUGAUAUUAAAAAAAAAGUAUCGUAAUAAUAGCUUAUUUUUUUGUUAGUUCAUAUAAAAUAAGGUAUAUAUAUUCAAGAGAACGAUUCAAUAAUAUUAAAAGAAAAAUAUUGUAAUAAUAGAUUGAGCUAGUUAUAACAUUAUUAUUAAUGUUGCGUUAGAUGUCAACACAUGUUCUAUUUACUAUGACAUCUCUCAAUACUAAUUUUUUCAUACAAAUUUUAAAGCUCCAUCACUCUUGUUUGAUUCAAAUUUUCCAUGAUAUUACUAUUUUUUUUUCUAAUUUCUUUCAUUAGUUUAAAGGCCUUUGUGGCAUGAAUUUCUGGCUCCGCCACUGAUGCGGAACGUUUUGCACACUUUAGUGGUGGGAUCAAUGUGCACGAUGAUGAAGUUGAGUACUUGAGCUCGAUUGAUGCAUAUUUUUGUCUUAACAGUACACAACGUUUUGCACCCUUUAUUGUUGGAGAAAUAAGAUAGUUGAAUUCGUCAGGGACUUGAUAUUAACAAUGCAAAAUUUUAUUCUACACUUCUUAUAAGUGUAUUUUUCUUUUUAAUUAUAGAAAGUUUAGAGUGCAAAAUAAGAUUUUUAAAGUGCCAAUAACAAUCUCAUUUUCUAUAUGCUAAAACUCGGUUCAAAAAACAUUGUUCACCAACCGUAAAAUGACAAAUGGCCCUCCACUAGCUCUCCAUUCCUCGUUCUUUUUCCUCCUUAGCAUAGUGGAAUGACGCCUUUGUCCACACUGCCCACGUGUCGAUCAUCAUCCAAUGCUCUGCUUCGACUACAUCUUCUCGACUCUUCAUUCCAAUUUCACUUCUUCGUGUCUAUUUUUUGACAUUUUCUGUAGCAUUUAGCCAACAACCCAAGUUAUAUGCUUAACUAUUGUAGCUCCCAUUUUUAACCGUACUUAGGGGAGGGGGCUCAUCAGAUUUUGGUGGGCAACAAUGCAUCUAACCUCCUUGACCGUCCCUAAAAUUCCAUUUCAAUCUCACUUUUAUCCUUUGAAACUCAAAUUUCGCCUAUUCCUUUUCAAAAGAGUAGCAAAAAAUAAGCAUAGAAAUGUUAAGACUUCACUGAACUCUUCUCCUUCUAGCAGACGAUAGCCACAUAAAACCAAAACCUAUCCACACCAACAAUCCUUAGAUAUACACAUAAGCACAUGAAAUUAACUGUAAUUUUACAUAUUUAAGCUAUUUAAAGCUGUUGGGACAUUAUUUCAGAAAAAAAUGGCCAGUGGAUGAAGAUUGAAGAAGCCUCCUCUUCUUUUCUUUUUUUCCUUUUUUUUCAAUAUAUGUGGCACCAUUUGGUUGGAUGCGUUGAUCUUAUACUUAUGUCUUAGUAAACUUAACGAAUAUGUAACAAACAAGAUAAAAAUCAAGCAAAAAUGGAACGAAAAUUUAGUUCCAAGGUAUUAAAUAGAAAAUUUUGAAUUCAAUGGGAAAAUAAGAUUAAAAUCAAGUUUGAGGAGGCAUAGGAAAAAUAAAAAUGUUGCUGUUUCAUUUAAAACUCAGUCAAUAGUUAAUACAGUUACACAUCAAUGGUAGGGAUGAGCAUUGGACAAACAUAGUGGGAUUGGAGUUGGGCAAUCCAUGUCCAUUAAACAUAAGGAAAACUAAUGAAAAGAGCUUGAAAACUUUGAGUUUUAAUGAUAAAGACAAAAUAAAGGGUAAAGUGAAUAGUACCAGGAUUGACUUUUUAGUGUAAAAAUGUGGUUUUUCGUUAAAGUGAACAGUUUCAUGAGUUUUUCGUUAAAGUUCUCUUAAACAAAUGAUGAAUGGGGACCAUUACCCAAAAAAAUCCAUUUAUACAUUUAAUGGAGACCCGUAGUCCUUCCUACACAACCCAUUCCCACCGAGAGAAGAUGAGCGAGACAGACCACAAAUGCUACUCAAAAGUAUGAUCUCUUGCCUUACAUUUUAACGUUAAUUUUCGUGUUAUAAUUAUAAAACGUUAUCCCAACAUUAUAAAACAUUUGUCUCACUUUUAAGACCAAAUCUAACCCUGGGCUAAAUGCUAUUUUGUAGGUUUUAUUCCCCCCCCCCCCUCAAACCCAACCCAACUCAUGUAAAUGUGUGGGCUAAAAGCUAAAUGCCAAAUUCCCCCUAGGAUUUAGCCCAUAAAAUGGUGUGGGCACCACCAGAGGGACCCCACCUACAUGGGCAUGUCUCACAGGAUUUAAUGAAUCCAACGGCUGAGAUCGAAUAUAAUCAAAUUUAACUGUAAAAAAAAAAAUCUAACGGCCCAAAUUUAAAUCUAACGGUUAAAAUAAUUAAAAAAAAUUAUUUAACUCAAAAUUCACCCAAAUUUAGUGGUUUUUCAAUAUUUAUCAGAAUUUAAAUAUUUUUAUGUUAAAAUGUUAAUAAAAUUAAAAUUAUGAUAGUGUACAUAAUUUAAUUUUUUUUUUAAAUUACUUUAAAAGAAGAACAACAACCCAAAACGCUAACUUUGUGGAACUUUCAUUGUUUUUGUUAACAUUGAUUACGACCCCCGAGACUGAAAGCUAAAUUGGUAUUAAUUCCACUCCAUGCAUCUUGCUUUUUCACCUACAUACACAGCUAAGAGCACUUCUAAAAGAGAUGUCAAAAUAUAAAUGUUAAAUGUUAAUUUGAUGGCUGACGUGGCAAUGUUAGAUUUUCUCUUUUUCCAACUGAUAUGUUUCUUUAUUAUAAAUGAUAUCUGUAGGAUUCAUUUUAAAAAUAAAUCAAUUAAAAUACAUUUUCAAAAUCUAUAAUUGAUGCAUUAAUAAGCCUCACACAGUAAAAUAAUUAAAAAAAAUUUGACAUCAAAGUCAUUACAAAUUGUACCAUCUCAAUCAUAAACGGCAUCCCUUCUGCACAACAUGGUAAAGUUUUUUCACGUUCCUUGUCACAUUAGUCCAUAAAACAACAAAGGAUCUUUAAUCCCAGUUUUACCGACCAAGCGAAAACAAUCCUUAUCCAAAGGAUUGCAUGGGAUCUUCAUUUGAACUUUAGCAGCCUAUCUUCGAUCCUAAUGCAAUAAUACCAUGACAAAAUCACAAUAAUAAAAAAAAAAAGGUCGUACCCAGUGCACAAUAAUAAUCACUGAAAAUCUAACGUGUAAAACCGGAAUCCUUUCUUCAUCCAACAAGCCUUAAUUAUAUCGGGCGAUAGUGUUAAAUCGAGUCUAAACAAUUAGAGAUUAAACCAUGCUGAACUCUAGUUUUGUCAAGCUCUUGUGAUAGGGAUGCUCCAAUGCAUAUGCGACUGCUGAAGCUUGAUGUGUUAGUGUUGAAGAACAAUGUUUGAGUUAUAAUUUUAGUCUUGAAAAGGCUCAAGAGUUAAAGAAUAUGUGGAACAAACAAUAACAAUACUUUAAUGUGAAACGGAAAGUCCAAUUUUUGUUACAGAACUUAAAAUAUGUUUUUAGAUGUAUAAACGACCUUGGUUAGGGAUUGGUUUAAUUAAAAACAUGUAUAAUUAUAUGUUUACUGUAAUAAUCUUGAUCGUUAAAUUUAGUCAAUGGACGAGAUUACUGAGAGGAACAAGAGGCAUGUUCAACAACUAUUCAUAUAUGUGUUGUCACAUUACAUUUUCUACUGCUAAAUAACCUAGUCCAAUAUGCUCAACGGGUACAUUUUCUUUUUGGGCUACGGUCAAGACUCAAGCCCAUAUCCAAAGAGUUCGAGUUGUAUUUUUUACAUUACGUAUUUUAAUAGAAAUUGUGAGAAAUUUUACUUUUUAAUUAUUAAUUUUUUAGCAUGCAUAUUCCAUCGCACUGAAAAAUCUCUGGUCUCAGAAGAUGUCGUUAAGUUCUCCAGCGCUCCUUCUGCACCGCCACCCAAUCUAACGUCACCAACGGCAGGAGCAUUGGCGCCAUCUCCACCGACCUCUACAAAGAGCGCAACCUCAAACGCCUCUCAGAAGUUGUCAAUUGAACCAGAUGUGAUGUCGUAUAAUACUAUGAUCGAGGCAUUUUGUGAAAUGGGUUCGUUGGAUCGGUGGUUUCGAUGGGAUGGAGAAGAAGGGUGUUGAGUCGGAUAUAAUCAUGUUCAACACGAUCAUGAAUGGGUUGUUUGCGAAUGAUCAGUUUUUGGCAGCCGAGAAGCUGUGGAGUUGAAUGAAGAAUGUUGUCCCUGAUGUUAGGAGCUACAAUGCCAGGUUGUUGGGAUUGGCUUCGGAGAAGAAAACUGACGAGGCGGUUGAAUUGUUCGAGGAAAUGCGGAACAAGGAAGUAAAACCUGAUGUGUUAAGCUUCAAUGCCAUGAUCAAGGGAUUUGUUAAUGAGGGUAAAUUGGAAGAAGCUAAACAGUGGUAUCGUGAACUGGUGAAGCGUAGUUGUGCUCUGCAGAAAUGAACUUUCCAGGCUCUUGUUCCUUUUGUUUGCGAGAGGGGUGAUUUGGACUUUGCCUUUGAACUCGGCGACAAAAUUUUCAAAGGGCGUCUCCUUGUGGAUGUGGAGUUACUGCAGACUCUGGUGGAUGGGAUAGCUAACGCUUCCCGGAUCAAUGACGCAAAGAAGAUUGUGAGGCUUGGGAACACAAAUACAUACCUGCGUUACAAUUUGCAGUUGCCUUCAGAGGAAUAAUGUAUUUCUGUUGUUGUUUGUUUCUGUUUGCAUGUCGAAAUGUUUGUGCUUUUAUUGCUAGACACUUCUAAUUUAUAUAGUUAAAUUUGUGCAAGCUUCAAACAUUCCUUCAAUUUCAGUGUUGAAUAGUUAUUAUUACACAGAUUUUCAUACAGCAUGGAUUUCAUAUACGCCUCAAGAGGUGGAAGGUGUUGGUCAUCAUCGUAGCGACACAUUAACAGGACCAAUUCUUUGUUUAACUGCUUCCAUUCUUCUUAAAUCAUAUUUACAGCAUUUUCUUGUGUUUCCUCCAUUGAAGAACCUAGAUUUUCAUCUAAGUAGCGUCGUAUGUAUGACCCCUCGUGCCGAUCCUGAUUCUCAUCCUUCAGUCAAGCUAUGCACAUUUUGAGAGAUAUGAACAAGAUGUUUACUCUAUGUAACGUGUUUGAUUUGAAUCUAAUUAUAUAUAAUCACCUCGGCGCUUCCCAAAUCUUCCUAAAGCCGAAGAAUUGCUGCUGUGGAAGAUGCAAUUUCUAGAGUUCUAUUCAACGGCUCCACACUUUCUUUGGUUAUACUUUGACCCAAGAGAAAGAAUCUAUGCACCAUCAUCGCAUUAACCCCAGAAGAAGGGUUAAUCUCAGUUUAUUACCCUGAAAUUUCUUAGUUUUCAACUUUUGGUACAUAAAUUUUUUUUUUCAUUGUAGUCUGAUACCUAAAGUCAUAAUUCUGGGACAUUUUCAUACAUCCGUUAAGUUUUCUGUCAGGACCUCAAUUAAUUGAUGAUGUGUCGCCCACUUGGACAAUGAUUGAGCGCCACGUUUCAAUAUGGGCCUAUGUGAAUAUUAAAAAAAUUAAAGUUUUUUCUUUCUUUUCUAGGCAUCCUACUUCCCUCGGACCCUCUCCCCUCAUUCUCCCUCCAUUCUUUGCACCCACCCUCCCUGCACACCCACUAUCUGCCCUGCUCCUCUUCCACCUAUCUAGGUAUGACAUAGGCCUUGCCGCCGCACAAAUGGGUCGGCGUUAUCGAAGGUCAGCCGCAGGUGGCGGUGGAUCAACGAAGUCAAUAGCGGAUCGGCGUUUAGGAGAUAGCGAAUCGCAGUCUCGAUUGCUGAACUAUCUUAAUCUUGGAGGCCAUGGUGACGGUGAAGGGUUUGGGGGAUUCAAAUACGGCAACUAUCUGAUGGGAGGAAUUGGGUGAAGAGGGUGGAGGAGAGAGAAGAGAGGGGAGGUGAAAAGGGUGGGGGUGGGUACCGUAUAGAGGUUGGGUGGGUGCAGAGGAGAGAAGGGAGGGAGCAAGGUAGAUGUGUGGGUGUGCAAGGAGGUGGGUGUAGGGAAAAGAAGGGAGGGAGAAUGAGGGAGGGUGUAAUAUCCCACAUCGCCGGAAGAGGGGAGGUGAUGUGCCUAAUAUGUAUAUGUCCACCUCCCUACAGUAAGACGCAUUUUGGGUGGAAGCCCAAGAACAAAAUCGUGAGGGCAUAGCCCAAAGCGGACAAUAUCUUACUUUGCGGACUGGGAUGUGACAAUUUGGUAUUAGAGUCACUGCCCAGCCGAAAGUGUGCCGACAAGGGCGUCGAGCCCCUAAAGGGGUGGAUUGUAAGAUCCCACAUCAUCCGAAGGAGGGAAGGUGAUGUGCUUUAUAUGUACAUGCCCACCUCCCUAUAGAAAGACGUGUUUUGGGUGGAAGCCCAAGAACAAAACUGUGAGGGCAUGGCCUAAAGCGGACAAUAUCUUACCAUGCGGACUCGUGAGGGCGUGGCUCAAAGCGGACAAUAUCUUACCGUGUGGACUAGGAUGUAACAAAGCGAGGCGGGAAGGGUGAGGCAGGAUGCCCAGAAAAGAUUUUUUUUUUAAAUUUCCAUGUGGACCCAUAUUGACACGUGGCAUCCAGUCAUUGUCCACGUAAGUGCCACUUCAUCAAUUAACUAAUGUUCUGACGGAAAACUUAACGGAUGUAUGAAAGUGUUCCAGAAUUAUGACUUUAAGUACCAAACUGGGACAAAAAAAACUUUAUGUAUCAAAGGUUGAAAAUCAAGAAAUUUUAGGGUAGUAAACUAAGAUUAACCCCCUAGAAGAAACAAUACCAUUCUUUAAGUAGUCUUCCGCCUUCGGCAAGUGCCCGGAUUUGAACCGUUUUGCUUCUGCUAAAAUGCAUUGCACAGAAUCCUCCACUGCACGUGAUAGUAGAAUUAACUAUCUGUUAAGCCUUCUCUUGAACAAACUAGUAAUUAAAUUUCAUGACACUAACCGGUUUAAUAUAUUACCUUCUUAAACGAAUGUAAUGGGUACCACCCAUGCUUUUGAUAGAAUUUGCAGCUGAUUUCAUUCGUCAUAUUGUAAAGAGACUUGAAAUAUAUGUUCAUGUAGUCCGGUUUAAGUGCUCUAUAGCACCAAUUUCGCAUCUGCAGCGUAACAUUUACUGAUCAAUUCACGGUGAAAACUGGUGAAGCCAAUUAAGAAAGUACAGGACAUUUUAUUGUUUACAUAUUGACAGCCUCAGUGAAGAGAGUAAGUUCAUCAAGCGUCUCGUACAUCGAAAAUGUCAUCAAUAAAUGGUUUUGUGAACUGAAUCCUCUCCUCUUACAGGUUAGGAUCUGUUGAGCGCAAACUACAGUUCCCUAGGCAGUCCCAUCUCUUUCCAUCACCUAAUUAUUUUGUUGGAUGAAAUAAACAGACAAAUUAGGAUUUCUAUAGUGCAGUUAACCGUAUUGUUUACAUGCGGAUAUAUUCUUGAUAUUGAUGAUAUUGUUGGUACUUCGACCUUGUAGAUAUGUGUACAACAUGGUUGGCGAUAAAUUGGACAACAUUUUUAAGAAGUGCUGUUAAAUGCACGAUGUCAGUUAAUUUUGGAAAUUUGAAUAUCUACUUCUGAUGUAUGGACUGAACCAAAUUAAAAUCCGUUUUGCCACAUCCUGUAGCAUAUUUAGCCAUCUAUUGUUCAUGCCAGCUUGGGAAUUAGUAACAAAAAAGUGGCCAUGAAUGUGGCCAAGCUUUUGUGAUGGGGGUACUCCAGUGUGUUCCCCACAACUCUGGCCUAAUGAGGACCAGGAUAGGACAAUGAUCUAUUUACGAGAUCACUACUCAAUUUUCCAGCUUCAUCAAGUGCAUCUUCUCCUUCCCUGCUUAGCUGUAAAGCUUCGUACACACUCAUCAAUCCCUUGACCUCUUAACUAAUUAACGUUUUCUUAAAAUGCUUCCUUCGCUUUCCUUCAAGUUGUUGACACAUCUAUUAAUAACAAAAGUUAUAAUUGGGAGUGAUUGACUGAUACUGAAUAUCAAUCUGCAAUACUAAGUAAAUAUAAGAACAAAUUGUUACCGAAAUUUUAGUUAUACUCACCCUCGGACACGAAGUGACCAUGUGGCCAUAACAGAAGGGCAACUUCAUGAAGGUCAUUUUGUUGAUGAGAAAGGCCAGGAGCUGAUAGAUAUGAUUAGGUCAAUUUGUUCUUCGAUAGUGGUAAUCUAUACCUAGACGUUGAACAACAUCGAUCAUGUUCAAACUUUCGAGCGCGCCUUCUACUCCUACUUUGCUCAAUACAUUCCUGAAUGCCUCCAACUUUUAUUCAUGUCAGAAACGGCAUGUCAUCCUGCAAGCAAAGUGGAGUUAUUUGAAGAGUGGACAUAGGUUUGGAUAUAAAUAGCUGAAUGAGAUCAGAGUGCCCAAGAAGUAGGAUCUUUUUUUGAGCAAUAUUUGGAGUGGAGAUAGCAAAGAUGGCCUGAGAAGAAAAUGCCAUAGAGGGAAGAGUACAAGGUAUGUACCUCGUUUAACAAGUGUUUAAAUUUGUUGGCAUUCUUCGGCACAUGUAUCUAACCAGGGCCGGAGCCAGAUAGAUGUAGGUGGCCCUGACCCUCUCGCACCAUUUGAGCAAGCAUACAUUAUUCCUUGAUUUGCACAAGUUGUUCAUCAUUCAAUGUUACUUUUAUAUUAUAUGUUUUGCCUAUCAGCCCCCCACACAUAAAAUUUUGGUUCCGUCAUUGUAUCUAACUGUUAAAUUAAAAAAUCUAUGUUAUACUUAAAUAUAUUUUAGAAUUUUCACUUUUUUACAUAACUUUGAAAGAAUUUUUAUUCCAUGCAUCAACCUACAUUGCUCUUAAUAUAUUGAGAGUAUGAGUUCCCACAUUGAGAAUAUAAGAGACCUUAUAUGUGUUUAUAAGGAAUUAGGCUACAUUUGAUACUUUCAAGGAAUUUUUUUUGAAAUGUCAUAUGAACUUGUUCAUAUUUUCAAUUUGUUAUAUAAACUAAAUUUUAAGCAAUUUGUUAUACCAGCUUUACAAAAUCAUUAAUUUGUCAUCUCACCCCAACUCCCGUUAAGUUUUCCAUCCAAUAUAAGUCAAGUGCCUCACACAAGACUUUUGUUCGGGGUUAUUUCGGUCAUUUUAACAUCUUUUCACAAGUAUUUUACUUUUCUUUAGUACAAGCACUUAAAUUUUUUACUUUUCUUUAGCACAUAUGCAUCUACAACCCCAUUUAUGGCACAAAACGUCAACAUGUUUCUCAUUUAUAGAGCCCGUAUGAAAUUAUUUCUUAGUGACAUGCUAAAAUGCAAACUCCCACUUGUGUAUCAUUACAUAUUUGGAAUAACCAGAAGAUAGUACAUUGCGUGAUCAUUCAUUGCUAUCAUAUAAAUUUAAACACUUGUGUAUCAUUACAUAUUUAGAAUAACCAGAAGAUGUCAUUUUUUUAUAAGGAAACAUCAACGGUAUGAGAUAAUUCUUUUUACCUGAUUAUGUCAUAUUCUCAAAGGGUGCGGAGAAAGAAAUUGUUUGAUUAUGUCAUGAAUUCCCCAAUUCGGAUACUUAAUAUCUUCGUGGUAUUUAUGUAAAGAAACAAAUAAUGUUUGCAUACAUGAAGAAUAGUAAGGGUUGGUUUGGUAUUGUUAUGCUUUGAAAAAAAAACUUUUUCUGCUGUAAUGUAAAAAUAAGCUCACUUUUGUUACUUUACGUUUUCAGCUUUUUUUUUCACUCAAAACUGUGAAAAUAAGGUGUUUAUAAGUGUUUACCAAACACAUUUUUGAGCUUAGCUUUUUUUUAUACCCACUUUUUAUAAAAACAUCUCAGUACCAAACCAGUACUAAGAGAGAUUGUUGAGAGAAAGAGGAAGCUUGAAGAGGAAGAAAAGGUUAUAUAUAUUUUCAGUAGUGAAUUACAAAGAGUACAUUUGGUUAUAUAUCUGUUGUUUUAGUAACUAAGUCAACUCAACAACCGUAUAACAAUCUUAACAGCCUUAUAAUAGAUUCCCUAAUCUACUGACACAUGGCACUUUAUACAUCCAUUGAUCCUAUAUUGUUAUCAUCCCUCAUCAAGCUCAGGAAAGGAAGCACCAAGCCUGAGAUUGCAGCAAUGUGUAUGAAAAAAUGGUGUACACGAUUCUUUUGUCAAGAUAUCAUCAAACUGUUCAUUUGAUGAGACAAAUUGCAUACAUAAAAGUUGUUUAGUAACCCUUUACCUGACAAAGUGAACAUCAAUCUCUAUAUGCUUUGUCCUUUGAUGCAUGACUGGAUUACAUGUAAGAGCGAUGCCAUACAAGUUAUCACAGAACAAUGUAGAAGGAAUAGGCACUGGAAUCUGCAGAAAAACAAGUAAUUGUCUAAUCCAAUCAAUAUCAGUUGUUGUGGAGGCAAUGUAACAACCUGUCCCAUAAUUUACGGAACGAAUGGGCAUUUUUAUAAUGUCACUAAGUUUGGGAUAUUUAUUUUAAAAAUUGUUUUGGGUCUUAAUGUGUGUGCCUGUGGGGCCCACUUGUUUUGGUUUUGUUCUCCGUAGCCUUAGUCCAUCUCUCUCCUUUUUUUCUCCCUCAUCCCAUGUGAACUCAUCUCCCUCACCUCUGCCGGUUUUCCUUUACCUCUCUCAUUCUCGGUGCUCAUCUUCGACAGGAUCACACAUUACAUACACACGACAACCCCGAGGACUUCACCAGCACCCCUAACAUCUAGACCUCCUCCUUUCUCUCUCUCUUUCCCUUCGAUACAUCUCGGCACUAUACAGUCACAGUGCUUGUGACUCCGGCGAGUUUUCAAAUAUUCCGACUAAGGUAAGCACCAUAGACCUCUAUAGAUUAUGUUUUCAAGUAGAUUAAAAUGUUUUGAGACAUUUUGGGGUGGUAUAAAUGUAGAGAUAACUCGGGGGAUUAUAUUUCCAGUUUUCCAGCAAGGUUCUGUGGCUUGCAGGCCAUUUCCCGGCCGAUCCUGAUGUCAACUUCAUUCCAUUUUGGUACAACUCGAAUCCUUAUUCUCUUACCUUUGAUUUGGCCUUUUAAUGGUAGUUUUUGGUUAAGGUUUAACCCCGGAUCGAAGCCAGGGAAGUUUUCUCAGCGAAAACUCAAGAAAACCAGCGUUCUUCUCCGGUGACUCAAGCGGCUUGCGAGGCCCUUGUGCCAUGGAAACCCCCGGCCCUUUAAGGGUAGCCCAAACCCAAACCCCUUGAGUUGAGGCGCUUGGGCCAUUCAGCUAGGGCCUUCGGCCCAUUAACCUAAAACCCAAAACCCUUUUGGCAACCUAGGCCUUGGGUUGUGUAAGAAUCCCAGGCCCAAACCUCUUAAAGCUCAACCCUUUAAAAGCCUAACCCAAACCUUGGAAAGAAUCGGCCCAACCCAACUGAUGGAAUAUUCCUUUAGGGAAUAUUCCCCUGUUGACUUUUCUGAAAUUUAACCGGGACCCUUUUUAGCGUAAUUCGACGUCCUGAAUUCGUUUUUGAUGUCCAUUUUCCUAAAUUCAAUCAUUUGAAUAGAGUUUUAUUGAUUGGACCCUUUAUGUGCUUAGGUACAAUUAUUAACGGCGAUUCUAUCCAGCUUACUUCAUGCAGCUCUUCGACAACGGAGUAUCUGUGAAUGGACCCCUUCUAAAAUGCAUGUUUUAAUAGUAGAAAUGCAUACAUGAAAAGCAUGAUUUAAUAAUUACGUUUUAUGAAACGUUUUAUGAGAUAUUAUGCUUACUACGAAUAUUUUGAAUUAUCAUAUUUUAUCGAACUCAUGUUCUUUGUAGUAUAGAUGAUAGAUGACUUUAUACUGCUUAUGAACAUGCUUUUGCACACUUCUUUAUAGUAUAGAUGAUGGAUGACUUUAUACUAUGAAGAUGUUUUUGAGAUAUAUAUACCUAUGUUUGGAAAGUUUAUGUACAAUGGUUUUGUGCUUAUCUAGUGGUCACUAUACCGCCACAGGCAAGGAUUAUGGUUGUUGGCUGCGGGUCGAGAGAAAUAAUCUCUGGCUUCAGGCCGAGAGACAUGGAGCUGGCAUUGGGCCAAGAGAAAUAAUAUCUGGCUAUGAGCAUAGAGACAUAAAAGUUGGCAUUGGGCUAAGAGAUAUUAUUAUUGGAUACCACUAUUUAUCACACUAUAUACGAGAUAUGUUUUAUAAAAGAUUUUAUGGCAUGCUAGGGUUUUCGGAAAACCUAUUACAUAUUAUACUAUUGAGUUUUCAUAAAACUUUGGGGGUUAAUACGUUGAAUAACUGUUUCAAUAUUAUAUAUAUAUAUAUAUCAACUUGGUCCACUCAUGUUGUAUUACGCCCCCUCAGAACUUAGAUUCGAGGUGUACAAUCCUAGCGUCAGGGCACUCCCGCAUCAGCAUCUUCGAGUCCUCUCAGUGUAUGACUCACCUCUUGGUUCAUUCAAUUUCAUAUUAUUCCUUGUUAGUGUUUAGGAUUAGUUGUAUGCUCUGAACACAUUCCUCAUUUGCAUAAUCAUUGUAUUUAAAUUCAUAACUUUUAUUUACAUUCGAUGUUCUCAUGCAUCCUAAUAUGGCCUCAUCACCUUCGGGUGUUGGCCAGUACGUGCCUACCCUGGUCUUCAAGGAAUAUUGGGGUCGGGCGUGUCAAGCAAUGACUUUAUAUUCAGUCUCAAUAAAGAAUUGAGAAAUUGUGUUCUGUUUAUUGGAAGACCAAGAGAUAGUAGGAUUAUACCCCAAGAAAACUACAAGUCCAGUUGUUGACGUUCUGUCAUUAGGGUAUCUAGCCCAAUCAACAUCACUAAAUCCAUGUAAAUCUAAGACACCUUUAACAAAUUGAAUACCAUUGUUCUGUGUACCCUACAAAUACCUAAGUAUCCUUUUUACAGCGAGAAAGUGAGACUCCAUUGGACAAUGCAUGAACUGACAGACUAGAUGCAUUGAGAAUGCAAUAUUUGUUCUAGUAAAGGUAAGGUACUGAAGUGCCCCUACAAUACUUCUGUAUAAUUCAAGAUUGUUCCCAUCAUCUUUGAGCAAUAUGUUAUAUGACACAUUUCUGUUUUUGUAAGUAAAUCAGACACGAUCUUAGCUUGAGAAAGAAACAACCCCUCUUAAUUCUAAGUAAUCUAAAUGCCAAGAAAGUGUCCCCAAGUCUUUAAUAUCAAAUUCCUUAGUCAAGGCAGCAAUGACCAGGUUGCUAAGACUGUUAUAAGUUGUUGAGUAACAGAAAUAUCUUCAAUUGUUUUUUGUAAUGACCACACAACGAUUUUGCAUUGUAGGUAAAAAGCUCAAUUCAAUAAAUCAAAUAUUGUAACCAAUCACGUGACAUGACAAACAAUUAAUAUAUAGUUUGACUAAUUUAUAAUCACAUGACAUCUAAAAUUAUGCAUUAGUUUUAGAGAAAUUCCUCCAUAAAACUACUAAAUGUUGGGGCCACAUAUUUCCCCCAAAUUCAUGUGGACAAGCUAUUCAUGAUCCAGCUGGUUGAUGAAGUUGAGAGUAUGAACUUUAUACCGAAAAACUAAAGUCUCACUUCUUGGAUAUUUUUAUUCAUUGUUAAUCAAUUUUUAGUUGGAUGGCCACAUAAUAGUUUAGUUUGUAACAACUUAGCAAAUCUCGGCCCUUCAACAACUAGGAUAUUUUUUUCUUUCAGAAAAUAAAACAACUGAAGAGCAUCAAAUUAAUCUCUUCAUUUUGCAUUCUCCCUUCCGGUAGCGAUUCACAUGCCUUGCACUUAUGUUCUAGUUGUUUAUUCCUUGCUCAGUAGGAUAUUAAUGUAUUAUAAACUAGCUAGGGUAAUUCUAUUUGUACCCAUUGCACGUAAGAAAUCGAAAUCAAACCAACUUCAUGCAUGAAGCAUCGAUUUCAUGUACUCGUCAAGAGAUGGAAGGCACUGGUUGUCGUCGUAGCUGUACAUCAAUGGCACCAUUCUUGCGAGAUUUAGGGAAGCCUUUGUGAAUGCCGCGGGAAGUGGAUUAGGAGACACCAAUUCUUUGUUCAGCUUCUUCCAUUCUUCUGAAAUCAUAUUUGUAACAUGUUCUUGUGCUUCCUCCAUGGUCUUGCCUUGAUGUUCAUUUAAAUACAACUUUACAUAUGACCCGUCGUCCCCAUCUUGAUUCUCAUCCUACAAUCAGUACGACGAUAAGAAAAUCUGACGUGCUCUAUGUGCGUAUAUAUACAUGCAUGCUACAAAUUUUGAUGGACAAAUAUAUAUAUAGCUUUUCUGUGAUGGAGUCGGCCAAGACAUCGACCACACAUGAUAUAGAACCUCAUAAGCAGGGAUGAAUAGGCAUUUAGUUAGUAGGGUGCUUGAUAUAAAUGAUACUAUAAAUAUGUAGUUACCUUGGCACUUCCCAAGUCGUCCCAAAGCCGAAGAAUUGCUGCCGUUGAAGAUAUAAUGGCUGGAGUGCCAUUCAAGAACUCCACACUUUGAUUGGUUAUACCUUCACCCAACAGAAAGAAAAUGUGGACCAUCACCACAUUCACCCCAGAAGAAAUAAUUCCAUUCUUCAAGUACUCUUCAGCCCUAGGCAAGUGCCCAGAUUUGAACCAUUUUGCUUCCACUAAAAAUGCAUUGCACAGACUAGCCCACUGCACGCAAACAAAUAGAAUGAAUUAAGCUAUAAUUAAGCCUUUCUUAAUAUGCUAGUAUAUAAUUGUCACGACAUUAAUCCAGUUAGAUAGAUAUACUUAAUAAUAAGGCAAUACUACAGUUUACAUAUAUAUAUAUACCGUCUUCUUUAGCGAAUGCAACGAGUUCCAUCCGUGCCUUUGAUAGAUCUUACAGCUGAUUUCAUUCGUCAUAUCGUAAAGAGCCUUGAAGCAUAUCUUCAUGUAGUCCGGUAAGUGCUCUAUAGAACCAAUUUCCCAUCUGUAGCAUAACAAUGUUCUUGUCAGUUCACUGUGAAAAGUAGUGAAAUUAAUUAAGAAGUUACGGGAUGUUUUAAUUAUUGCUACCUAUUGACAACCUCCGUGAAAAGAGUGAGUUCAUCAAGCGUCCCGUAAACGUCAAAAAUGUCAUCAAUCAAAUAGAUAAAUGAGAUAGGUUUUGUGAGCUCAAUCCUCUCAUCUGACAAGUUUGGAUUUGUUAGGCAAGCCAUGGACCAAAUGUACCAUUUAAUAGGUUGGUCUCUUGCAAACUUCAACUCCUUACACAAUCCCAGCUCUUUCCACCAUCUAAUUAAGUUAAUUGAAACAAAUAAACAUUGAUUAGCAACUGGUUAAUUUAUUAAAUAUAGAGACAACAAUUGAAGAUUAAGGUGCUAUUUUCCAAUAAAGUUACUUACUUGGAAACUUGAGCAACUUCUUUCUGGUGAAGGGACUGGACCAUAUUUAAAUCUGUUUUUGCUACAGUUUGUAAUAUAUUUAGCCAUCUAUUAUUUGUUCCUUGGAAGCUAGAGAGACAAAAAAGUUCUUGGCCAUGAAUGGGGCCAAGCUUUUGUGAUGAGGAUUUCUCAAUGUGUUUCCAACAACUCUGGCCUGGUGAUGAUCGAGAUGUGACAGUGAUGAAUUUAGGAAAUGGCCACUAAACUUUCCAGCUUCUUCAAGUACAACUUCACCCUCUAUACUUAGCUGUGAAGCUUCAUACAAACUCAUCAACCCCUUGAUGUCUUCCCUUAACAUUUGAUUGAAAUUUCCUUCUCUGUUCUUGAAGUUGUUAAACACAUCUAUAUUCACACGAUAAACACACUAGUUAUCAAAAUAUCGAAAUUGUAUUGAGUCAAUUUACUGGUACCGAAUACCAAUCUAUAUUACUGAAUUAUAGUUAACACUCACCAUCAGAGACGAAGUAACCAUGCUGCCUGAGUAGUCGAAAGCGGAGAGCGACUUCAUGUAGGUCGGUGGGAUGGUGAGCACCAUGAGCAGUAGUACUAGAUAUUAUAUGUUGCUUUUGGAGAAUUUGGUCAAUUUCUUCUUCAAAGUGGUAGUCUAGACCUAGCCGUUGAACCGCAUCGAUCAUGUCCAAACUUUCAACUGCUUCUCCUCCCACUUUUAUCAAUGCAUGCCUUAAGUCGUCCAGUUUUUGUUCAUUCUGGAAACAAAUUAUGCCAUCCUGCGGACAAGGAAUUGAAGAGAGUCGAUUUUCAACCAUGUAUGUACAUGUGUGUGUGUGUGAGAGAGAGAGAGAGAGAGAGAGAGAGAGAGAGAGAGAGAGAGAGAGAGAGAGAGAGAGAUGAUUUUUCUUACCUUAGAUGAAGUAUACUUCGUUUUGGAGUUAAGCGGUUUUAAGGGAGUAGAAAGCAAACUGUUAUCUUCGGGGAUGCUCCAUUUUUGAGAACUAAGGUAUUCCGGAGCAGCUGGAGUAGAAGACGAGGUCGCAAAGGAGGACUGGGAAAUAGAAAAUUCCAUAUUUCUGUAUGUGUAAUCAACUCCCAGAGUAGUAGAAGGCGAAUAGAGAAAAUAAGAUGUUUUUCGCUCUUCUUGAUCUCUCAAUUUAUAAUCGCCAUGAAAAUCGAUUUUCGCUAUACUUCGAGAGCUAGCACACUAAUUUGCACGUUGAUUUAGAGUUUUUUUAUUCGCGCUUUUGUUUUUUUUUUGUUUUUUUUUUUUUGUUGAAAAAUCAAACGUACUAGUAAGGGUCCAAGAAAGAAUAAAAAGUGUACCAAACGUGAAAGUUGUGCUAUUCGGCAACUGGAAAGCGGAUUCCUAUUAUUAUGAAACAACUUUUGAUUCCUUAAUACCUAGGUACUUGUCACUAGUGAAUAUUUUAUGUACUCAUUGUAUUUAUUUGGCUUAAUAAAAAAAUAUCGCGUGGGUUUUGUUUUUCAAAAUAAAAUAAAAAUAAUAAUGAACAUGUCAUUAUUUUUUAAUCACUAAAACAGUAUACCCAAGUAUUAUCCAAGCAUGUCUCAAACCCUAUAAGGGCAUCAAUAUUGAUGGAAGCCUUCAAACACAUUUUCCCAUUAUUAGUGACCACAAAUAAAUAAAUGAAUAAUGCUCAGAUCUAGAACCUUUUGGUUCGGCAAACUUGUGCGGAUAUCAACUCUAUCUAUCUUUUCUCUAUGUUUUCAGGUAAAAAAUUUCGAACAAACCAGAAAGCCUUAAUGUCCUUGUGCAACAUUGCGUAGUUUAUUAUAGGGGUAUGAUAUUCACACACCCCAUUUUACUUCUCACAUAUCUUUUUAAUUUUCGGUCGUCGAAUCGGAUGAAUUGAAGAAGAUCAAUAGACAGAAAUUAUCAAGAGGUGUGUGAGAAGUAAAAUAAGGUGUGUGGAUAGCACAUUCCUUAUUAUAUAAUAUAUACUAUUUAGGGAACUCUUUUGGUUGAAUAUAAUUUAGUGAGUUCGACGGAAGCAAGUCAACAACACCUAAUUAUGACCAAACUAUUGUUUAUGACAUUUUUUUGUCACGUGUCAAUUGUCCUCUUGUAAAAAGAGUCUUGAAAGCAUUUUAUAUUUUGCCAAACAAAAAGAUUCAACAAAUAUUAGAUGGCAAGUGAAGUAAUUUUUGUAUACCAUUUUUCUCAUACAUUCUUUAUUUCAGUUUCUUAAAAUAUACAGUGUCUCGUGUUUCAUAUGAGUUCACAUUUGUGUGUGAGACAUUACAUUUUUUUUUCUUUCAUACUUUGUUUUAGUUUUUUAAAACAUACAGUGUCUUGUGUUUCAUAUGAGUUUACAUUUGUGUGUGAGACAUUACAUAUUUUUUAGACGACAUGUUACAUGUGCGAUAUAAUUGAUGUGUCGUGAAUUCAAGGAUAAUUUUUAAUAGAAAUAUUAGGAAAAUCCAAUUUUAGUUUACCACAUUGUCCCACGUCUCUUCAAUAAAAGUGUGAUCUCGUGGUGUACCCUAGCAUAAAUAUUUUCUUUUGGAACAAACGAUAUUGACUACAUUAAGGGGGAGAGGGGGGAGGUGGGCUUAGCCUCACAAUGGACUAGCAAUAAUGUGGUUCAAAUUCUCUUUUGGUGAGAAUCGAACCUAAAAUCUCUCAUUUACAAGUGAAGAGAAAAAUCACUAAAUUGCAGUAUUAAUUGGUUUCCUAGCAUAAAUUGUUAAGCAUUAAUGUAAUGCACAUAAAUAUGGUAUCUCUAGCAUCACUCGAUCUCAUUUUUUAUCCACCAGUCGUAAUAGUAAAUGACAUGAUAUAACUUGUAUAACCCAUAUCCAAUUGUGACCGUGGAUAAUACAAGUUUGGUUGAUAAUACUGAAAUCAAGGUUUUUUUUCCCCAAUGAUUAGGUUAAUAAUGUUGAACAAUGUAAAAAGUCUCAUUUCGAAAACUUGAUAAUUAAAUACAACUUGCAUUGAGGUCUUCAUUGAUAAAAAUUUAGACUUACUAGAUUGCAUAAUAGUUAAGUGAAGAUGUGAAAUCCUGUCCCCAUAUUUCACUAUUUAAAAUUACGUAUUUUGUAUUCUUAGUUUUGACGCGUUUAUAAUUAUGGCAUGUAGUUUUUUUUUUUCAAUAAGUAAAAGGACAAAAAUGCCCUUAAUGAACUAAACGUACCAAUCAAGAUGAGAAUAAAUGAGGGAAAUGAGGGAAAAAAGAAGGAGGGAACCCAGACCCCCUUUCGACCCGCGACCCAACUAUUGACUGCCAACAUGCAAUCCGAUGCCUUCUCCGGCCAUUUUCUGGUGAAUUGCGAUGAGGCAACACUUGAGAACCCAUCCAUGAUCUCUUCUUUUCCAUUUUCACUUGAAAUUGAAGGAAUUUGGCUUCGGUUUCUUCUAAAACAUGCCGACAGGCUCCGUGGGGUGCAUAACAACAAUCUGCCUUUCCUGCAUGAAUCACUGUCAAACACCACCAUCAAUCAACUCCUCUUGGGCCCAGGAACAAACCCCAAAAAAGUUUGGCGGCGGUGGAGCACUGGAGAAGACAAAUCGAAGUGCACCCAUUUCAGGGGUUUCAGGCGGAUAGAGGCGAUUUCAAGCAUCUUCCCGGCCUAAUUGGACUUCAGCCCAGGUAUGAAAAAUGUUUCCCUCAUUGAGCUCUACAUGUUUGUAAAAUUUGGUAAUUUUUGAAGUUAGGUGAAUUUUCCUGCGAGUCAGGGCGGUGGCAUGUGACCUAAGGACCCAUUUGACCCUUUUAAGCUAAAUUUGAUACACCGAUUCCAUAUGUGACAUCUGAUGGACGAAAUUCCAUCGUUCGAACAUAGUUUCGUUAGGGUCCGCCUCUUGAUCAUUAUAACCAUCGAUGAUCCAACCGUUGGAUUGUCACCAAACCUUAAUAUAUUAUAACACGUAAUAUUUAAGGACAUUAGAAACUGACAGAUCAGGAAUCCGACAUACGGAUCUUGAUGAAUUGAAUUUUUAAGUUUGUAAAACUUGUUUGUACCAUACUUAGGGCCUCCGUAUUUAGACCUCGUAUAAAUACUCGGGGGACUCAAAUAUAAUUAUGUAAUAAAUGGAGGGGCAAAUAUGUAAUAAGUGAAGAGCCCUUAUUCUAUAAAAGGACUCCUCACUCUCCUCAUUAAGGGAGGCCAUUUCUUAAGCCUCCUCACAUCCCCUAAGCUCUAAGCUCUCCCAAAGCUCUCACUCUCAUAUUCAGAGCUCUCUUUCCCUCAGAAAUACAAUAUCACUGUGGACGUAGCCCAAACCUUAAGGUGAACCACGAUACAUCUUGUGUUAUUUACUUUCUUGCAGAUUUACGGUCGGAUUUACGUUGUUCCAAGACCUCUCCGGUUUUGUGCAUCAACAUUUGGCGCCGUUUGUGGGAAACGACACAAAAAACUAUGUCGGUUCUCUUUCAUUUUUUCACCUCCACCGUGAAUCUGCAAAAUCUGCAAAAAUCCAACAACCCAAAGCCUUCCAAAAAAAAAACCCAAGGAACCAGUCCACGCUCACUGUCUUCCUUCCUCGUUUCACUUUCUCAAGGCAGGCAAAGUGGGCAACAGCAACCAACAAGUUAAACCAAAAUGACUGAUAUUCCAACGCAGCAGUGGAUAAAAAAAAGGCAUCUGUAAUGAUGGCCGGGAUGAUUAGUGCAGAGGAAGCUACCGUGAACCUCUCAUUACCCGACUGCGGCACCCCCAUUCCUUCCGGCGAUCAAGCCGUCUGGGCCGACGUCUCGCCCCUCCUCGACGCCGCCUGUAAAGAUCUUCAAGAUGGCCAUUUUUUUAGAAGCUUCAAACCAGUUCCCGUUUCAAACCGUGAGGCAAGAGAAACAAGAAAAGCCGAGAUGACGAUUGGAAAAAGGCUGGUUUCGACGGUGGCUCUCUUGUGGGUCAUACUCCUCUUCGGCACUUUGGUCUUCAUCCUGACUCGACUCAGCGACGACAUAGCUCUUAACGAGCCGAAUGUUGUCAAAAGCGAGCUCCGAGAGGAUUUUCGAGCACUUUGCACAUGGGAAAAAUGAACUGGAAUGAGUAGGAAGCAUUUUCACUACAAAGGCAGUACAUUUCAUAGGAUUAUCCCCAGCUUUAUGAUAGAGGGAGGUGAUUUCACUCUCGGUGAUGGACGAGGUGGAGAAUCAAUAUACGGUGAUAAGUUUGCAGAUGAAAACUUCAAAGUACAACACACCGGGCCAGUCUUCACCGUCCCUUCCUCUUCGACAUCACUUAUUGCUUGAAGAAGUUCCAACGGAGUAGCUGCAGGAUCUAACUCCCGACAAGGCGACAACUCUUCUUCCGAAGUAUCUCUUGUCUCUUUGGAUCCAAAUGCGAUCAAAUAUUGUCAUAAAGCUAGCCACUUUCACCAAGGGAGUUACAAGUACACCUUGGUCUUCACUGAAGUCUUUAAUGGCGUCGACCAUAUCAUAUUUGUGUACAAUGUCUUGGAUUGUCAGUUCAUUCCAAUCGAGAGACCAAAUCCUGAACAGUACCCAGACUUCUGCAUUCCCUCGAUGAGAGUAACUUACAUAAACCUUGUACACUAUCUGCCACAUCCACCGGCCCAACAAACUCUCUGCCAUGUCCACAGGGUUAUAGAGUGACAGAACGGACACAGGAUGUUUGGUGUGAAGAUGAGCAACCACAGGGAGUCCACCAUCCCACUAUCUGAAAAAUCACUCAUAAAGAAGAAAAGCAAAAGCACUGACAAAAGCAAUGUUAUUGGCAGAUUUAUAUCAAAAUCCACUGCACCUACGCAGAAAAUGAAAAAGAAAGUGAAAAGAGAAAGCAAAAGCAAGUACAUGUGAGUAUGUCUGGAGGUAGAGAAACAGAGAGGUGCAGUGAAAAUAGAAUAUUUCAAAAGCAAAAAAGAAAAAGAAAAAAAAAGAAAAAGAAAGGCUGCAUGUGAGUAUGUCUGCAGGUGAAAAGAAAAAGCAUGCAUUUAUCCCCCAGCUCAACCACUUCCACAAAAGCAAAAGCAAAGCAGAAAGCAAAAGAAGAUAAAAAGAAGCAGACAUAAUUGCAGUGAUGAUGGCAUUAUGGGCGUGACCCAUUGAGCAAAGGGUCGAAACCUUUGUUUUGAAUGAUGUAAUUUAUUUUUCUUAUCUUUUGGAGACAUCUGUAUAACCCCAUCAGAGGGUAAUCAUAAAAAAUAAAAAAUAAAAAUAAAAUAUAAAAAAAACAGCAAGCCUAAAAUAAUGGGCCGCAAUGUUAUGUGGAGGGCGAAUGCCUAUAUGCCCAAAAGAGCCAGACCCUCUAUUAUCACCAACCAGGUGAUCAAAAGUACGUCCAAUACUACAAAAAAUUAUUCGGCAGCCUGCCGCUAUUACCACCAACUAGGUGAUCAAAAGUACGUCCAGUACUCCAAAAUUAUUCGGCAGCAUGCCGCUAUUAUCACCAACCAAGUGAUCAAAAGUACGCCCAGUACUCCAAAAUUAUUCGGCAGCCUGCCGCUAUUAUCACCAACCAAGUGAUCAAAAGUACGCCUAGUACUCUAAAAUUAUUCGGCAGCCUACCGCUAUUAUCACCAACCAGGUGAUCAAAAGUACGUCCAGUACUCCAAAAUUAUACAUGAGCAUUACUCAUGUCAAUCAUACAUAAACAUUUCAUGAGCAUCAUUCAUGUCAAUCAUACAUAAACAUUCAUGACCAUCAUUCAUGUCAACAUUCAUGAGCAUUACUCAUGUCAACAUUCAUGAGCAUCACUCAUGUCAAUCAACAUAAACAUUCAUGAGCAUUAUUCAUGUCAAUCAGCUUCAAAAGCUUCAUUUAAAGAGCUCUAGCUUCAAAAACUUCAUUUACAGAGCUCUAGCUUUAAAAGCUUCAUUUACAAAAGCUCCAGCUUCGAAAGCUUCAUUUACAGAGCUCUAGCUUCAAAAACUUCAUUUACAAAGUUGUAGCUUCAAAAGCUUCAUUUACAGAGCUCUAGCUUCAAAGCUUCAACUUGCAAAGCUUCACCUACAAAGCUUCAGUGCAUGGUAUACAAAUACCGCUUCCGAACAACCGCCAAAAGACUCUCUUGACCGAAGACUUGAGGGACUACAUUAUGUACCAUAUAUUGGGCCUCAACAGGGCCUCAUGAAAAAUACUUGGGAGACUUAGCCCAUUAUUUAUGUAUUGAGGAGCGAGCCCUUAUUCUAUAAAAGGGACUCCCUCACUUUCAUUAGAGAGCACCCAUUAUUCAUGUACUGAGGAGCGAGCCCUUAUUUUAUAAAAGGGACUCCCUCACCUUCAUUAGAGAGCAUCGCCGCCUGAGCAACCGCCUCGCCGCGAGCAUCACUCAUAACCUAUCACUUAUGUAUUGAGAAGUGAGCCCUUAUUCUAUAAAAGGGACUCCCUCACCAUCAUUAGAGAGCAUUGCCGCCUACUGAGCAACUGCCUUGCCGCAAGCAUUAACUCUAGCCCAUAAUUUAUGUAUUGAGGAGCGAGCCCUUAUUCUAUAAAAAAUACUCAUUCACCUUCAACGCCACAAGCCGAGCCAACCAAGGCAACAUAAACCACAAACAGAGCAGCCUCGCAACAUGUGCUACUUCUAAUUGAACAUCAUUUCAAAUUGGGCAACGCCUCAUAUUGAGUAUCAGUUCUAGACGACAUCUAGUUAUUUUGACCUACACAUGGAUUGAAUUUCAAGUCUCCAACCAAAAAACUCUCUUGACUGAAGACUUGGGGAACUACUGUUUGUACCAUACUUAGGGCCUCCGUAUUUAGACCUCGUAUAAAUACUUGGGGGACUCAAAUGUAAUUAUGUAAUAAAUUGAGGGGCAAAUAUGUAAUAAGUGAAGAGCCAUUAUUCUAUAAAAGGACUCCUCACUCUCCUCAUUAAAGGAGGCCAUUUCUUAAGCCUCCUCACAUCCCCUAAGCUCUAAGCUCUCCCAAAGUUCUCACUUUCAUAUGCAGAGCUCUCUCUCCCUCAUAAAUGCAAUAUCAGUGUGGACGUAGCCCAAACCUUGGGGUGAACCACGAUACAUCUUGUGUUAUUUACUUUCUUGCAGAUUUACGGUUGGAUUUACGUUGUUCCAAGACCCCUCCGGUUUUGUGCAUCAACAAAACUAAUUGUUGACCGCCACCUAAUUCUAACAAUUGGCGGAGAUCCGACCGUUGAAUCGUUCCAAAAUUUUAAGAUAUUGUUCUAGAAGAUAAAUGAGACUUGUUUGUACCAUACUUGACCAAUCCCGAAACUACCGAGCACUGGCCAACGCUAUACUGUCAAGGACCCAGAAGAGUUCCCCUCCGACCAGGAGGCCAAUCACUACUCGACACGUGUCAAGAUUAGAAGCCAAUCAGAGCGCAGCACGUGUCAACAUCAAGAACCAAUCAUAACAUGACACAUGUCAAUGUGACAAAGCUACAAGUUUUUCUAUAAAUAGGGGUCAUUCUCCCACAAUAUUGCCGAAUGCCAUUUGUGUUAAAUCAUUCACAAGAACUCACUAAAUUGAGAGCUUGAUCCUUUGUACUUGUGUAAGCCCUUCACUACUAAUAAGAAUUCCUCUACUCCGUGGACGUAGCCAAUCUGGGUGAACCACGUACAUCCUGUGUUUGCUUCUCUGUCUCUAUUCAUUUACGUACUUAUCCUCACUAGUGACCGAAGCAACCAAGCGAAGGUCACAAAACCUGACACUUUCUGUUGUACCAAAGUCUUCGCUGAUUUUGUGCAUCAACAUUUGGCGCCGUCUGUGGGAAGCGACACUUUUUCCUACUCUCUUCAGCUGUGUCAAGCUGGUUUCUAUCAUUCGUACACUUUCUUUUGAUCAGGCAUCCCUCUCCAACAUGGGAAGCGAAGGAAGCCACAGCACACAGAAUGACACCCCCCUUGCACAUAGUGCGAAACAACGAAAGAAGGAAGGAAAACGAGUUCUUCUUCAAGCUAAAGUCGAUGAUGAGUUGGAAGCUCAGAACAAACAGAUAGCAAUGAGGAAUGAGGUCCUCCAGGAGCAAUAUGAGAAGCUCUUCGAGACACUCCACGAAGCUAGGCAAGCUCAGACACGCGAGAUUGUUGCCCCCGUGGAAGUCAACCAUCAACUGGGUGCCCCUCCAACAUGGAGGGUCACAUGCAUUCGACAUAGAUAUAUCCCUGAUAGGGAACAGAUUACCCCUCGACUUGAUAAUCAACAUGAGGCUUCUCUUAACCCAGUUGCUUCGACCCGAACCAUGAGAAGUGGAGGGAGACACCUCUUUGCUGAAGGGGCAGAAGGAUCGAAAGCCGUUUUUUCGCGAUUGUCGGGAUUUCCUGAAGCAACGUCGAGAGAAUUCCAUCCACAUAAGCUUAAAGAUUAAUGACCCAAGGAUUUCUGAAAGACUCGGUCCCCUGCCACGGCCCAAGCCGGCCACCAAUUUGGGGAAGGGGCAACAAGUCCUAGAGAGACAUGAGGGUACAGGGGACUCAGAGGUGUUCCGACAGACAUACCCUGGAAGCCAGUACAGCGAGUCCAGGGAAAAAUCACAUGCCCUUGAUCAAACCUUCCUAAUUCCAAGAGGAGAUGGAGAUUUACGAAAGAAAGCUCCAGUGACACAUAACUCCGCUCAGGACCCUCUUGUCCUACAACUUCUUGAGGAAGUAAACAAGUUGAAGGCUGAACGUCAGGCUGAAAUACCUGACUGGAACCAACCCAGGCCUGGCCCUCUUACAAGGAGGAUCCUCAACACCCCCUUUCAAGCAAAGACAAAGCAAAAGCUUGGCUUGCAACUUUAUACUGGAAAAGAGGACCCGAUUGAGCACCUUAACCUCUUUGAGUCCACCAUGGCAUACCGGAUGCACACCGACGAAGAGCGAUGUCUUCUCUUCCCCUCCACCCUCUCUAGUGGAGCUCUAAAUUGGUAUUGUCGUCUUACACCUGAGACGGUAGACUCAUUUGAGGAAUUGAGGAAACUAUUUGUUUCCCAACACAUUUUCCAAACCGAUCGCUUGCACUCUGCAGAUGACUUGUACACUAUCCGCCAGAAGCCAGACGAGUCAUUACGUAUGUAUGCUGGCCGCUUCAGCCAUGAAUACUCCCGGUGUGCCGAGGCAGACGACAAGACUGCCCUCAAAGCCUUCACGGCAGGCCUACGUGAUUGUUUCUUUAAAUACAUGAUCAAUGCCAAUACUUGGAAGACUUACUCUGAGGUGAUGGCACAAGCUUAUAACCAUGCCUCCGCCGAGGCAAAGACAUAUCAGGAGAAACCUCCUACAACCAUCCUUUAUCAACAAGUGGGAGAUGGAAGCCAGACUCACCUAAAUGAGAAGACCUCGACUUUCCAAACAGCAGUGGCACCUCCCCAUGCCUUGCAUAAUGCUUCGCCGAAUCAACAGACAUAUCAAUUUCAAGGCAAGAGGAAGGAUUUCCAUCCUCACCACUCUCAUUUCAGUAAAAAGAGUAAGGGACACUAUCCCGAUAACCAAGGGUAUCGCCACAAUAACGCUCGCCCCCAGGCAGUCAAUGCAGUGGGUCAAACCCGCGUCAAGAUACCCCCUACCCCAAGAUAUGAGACAUACACGCCCUUGAAUGCCACAUGCGCGGCCAUUUACCCCAGCAUAGCUCACCUGAUACCAAAGCCAAAGCCGAGGCACCCAGAUUACACGCCCCCGAAUAACGCGGGCAUGUUUUGUUGCUACCAUGAGCAUAACGGCCAUGAUAGCGAGAAAUGUAUCAUCCUCCGUGAUCGUAUUGAAGCUUUGGCACGAGAAGGAAAAAUUGAUCAAUUCCUCCUUCACCCUCAAAGGGAUAACCGUAACCAACGCCAGGUGAAUGUCAUAUAUUCCAUAAGCGGCGGCACACCCAUAUCUGAAUCUUCCAAUAGGGCCAUGAAAAACAGUGAACGAAUUCUGAGGCCUGGUCACCAAGUGUUUCACGUGGAAGACAUCAGGGGAGGGAAGUAUCAAAAGCCUAACUGGGAUCCGAUAUGUUUCUACCCUGAGGAAGAAAGAGGCAUCAUCUACCCUCAUAACGACCCAUUGAUCGUGGAGGCUCACAUAGCCAACUUUGAUGUUCGACGAAUCCUCGUAGACACAGGGGCUUCGGUCAAUAUCAUGUUUGCCGAAGCUUUCAGGGCACUCAGUGUAGCUGAACACGUGCUCGAUCGCUCGAUUUCUCCUCUGAUAAGCUUCUCCGGUGAUAUCGUGCAACCCUUAGGGAGCAUAUAUUUACCCUUUACUAUUGGUACAGGCCCUUACACGGCUACCAUUACCACUAACUUCCUAGUGGUUGACUGCCCAACGGCAUACAAUGUCAUCUUUGGGCGCACAGGCAUCAAUGAUCUCAAGGCUAUGGUAUCCACGCAUAUGCUGUUGAUGAAAUUUCCAACCCCCCAUGGCAACGGCUACAUCAGAUGAGAUCAGCUUAGUGCACGAUCAUGUUACAACACUUCAGUUAAGCAACAACACUUGCCCGGACCCAAGGAAACCCUGUCUGUACAUGACCAAGUCACAAAGACCAGCCUAGAUGAAGCGAACUUGGAUCUUCCUGAUAGCAACAAUCAACCCGAUGAUCCUCGAGAUGACUCUUUCACCCAGCAAGCCCAACCUGCUGAAGAGUUGGAGAAGAUACCUAUCUCAAGAGAUUAUCCAGAUCGCAUGGUGAAGAUUGGCACCACAUUGUCACCACCCCUUCGGUUAGCAUUGAUAUCUUUUUUGAAAGAGAACACUGAAGUUUUCGCCUGGUCAUACGAGGACAUGCCAGGCAUCUCUCCCGAUGUCAUCUGUCAUCGUUUGAGUAUUGACCCCAAGAUCAAGCCGGUGAGACAUAAGCGAAGAUCUUAUGACGCUGAACGAUACGAGGCAAUGAAAGCAGAAGUUGAAAAACUCAAAGGCAUAGGCUUUGUCCGCGAAGUCAAUUACCCGACAUGGGUAGCAAAUGUGGUCCUUGUUAAAAAAUCCGACCAAAGAAAGUCUUUUGCUUCAAAAGGUCUUGUGGAGAAUGUGUGUUGACUACACCGACCUAAACAAAGGGUGUCCGAAAGAUAGUUUCCCUCUUCCUCUUAUUGACAGGCUUAUAGACUCUACGGCAGGGUGUGAGCUCUUGAGCUUUAUGGACGCUUAUUCAGGAUACAACCAAAUCCUCAUGAACCCCUCAGACCAAGAACACACGGCCUUCACUACUGACAGGGGACUAUAUUGCUAUAAAGUCAUGCCUUUCGGCCUAAAGAAUGCAGGAGCAACUUAUCAGAGACUGGUCAAUUCAAUGUUCGCCGAACAAAUUGGGAAGAACAUGGAAGUUUACGUUGAUGAUAUGCUAGUCAAAAGUAAACAUGCUGACCAACACAUCACCGACCUAUCUGAAACUUUCACCAUUCUAAAGAGGUAUCGAAUGAGGUUGAACCCCAACAAAUGUGCCUUCGGCGUGGGCUCUGGCAAAUUCUUAGGCUUCAUGAUUAGCCAACGAGGCAUUGAAGCUAACCCUGAAAAGAUCAAAGCAAUCCUCGACAUGAAAGAGCCAAUAACUUCAAAAGACAUCCAAAGCCUUACUGGCAAGGUGGCAGCCUUAACCAGAUUCAUCUCUAAGGCCACAGACAGAUGUGCUCCUUUCUUCAAAGCACUCAAGGGAAAUAAGAAGUACAUUACAUGGACGGAGGAAUGUGCCAAGGCAUUCAGGAACCUCAAAGAGUACAUGAGUAAAGCCCCUCUGCUCUCCAAACCAGAAGUUGGUGACACUCUCAUCAUCUAUCUAUCGGUUUCGGCUUCAGCAGUCAGUUCUGUUCUUAUUCGAAUGGACAGUGGUGUCGAACGGCCCGUCUACUACGCUAGCAAGGCCCUACAAGAUGCGGAGACACGAUACUCCAACAUUGAGAAAUUAGCUCUAGCAUUGGUCAUGUCUGCUCGGAAACUUCGCCCUUAUUUCCAAGCACACGCCAUCAUCGUGCUUACCAAUCACCCUCUUCGACAGAUACUCCAGAGUCCUGACACGUCUGGGUGAAUGAUCAAAUGGGCGAUAGCAUUGGGUGAGUUUGACAUCUCCUACCAACCAAAACCAGCCGAAAAAGGUCAAGCAGUAGCAGAUUUCAUCGCCGACUUCACAUAUCCUGUUGACAUUGCUUCUACACCUGAAGCAGUAGCUUCAUUACCAUCGGAAGCUCAGAAAGUAGAAUCAACGACCUCAGCAUGGAGUCUGUAUGUUGAUGGCUCAUCCAACCAACAGGGCUGUGGAGCGAGACUAGUCUUGACUACGCCCGACAAAGUAGCAAUGGAGUAUGCUCUUCGUUUCAAAUUCAAGGCAUCAAAUAAUGAGGCCGAGUAUGAAGCCCUUCUAGCAGGAUUACGUUUGGCCAAACACCUCGGGGUUAAACAAAUUGAUAUUUUCAGUGACUCCCAAUUGGUGGUCAACCAGGUUACCAACAACUUUGAUGCUAAGGACAGCUCCAUGGCAGCAUAUCUUGCGCAAACACAACUUUUGCUCAAGCACUUCCACUACCAGAUCACCCAAGUUCCUCGAGCGGCAAACAGUCAUGCAGACGCCCUGGCUCGCCUCGCCUCGGCUGUGGAAGACAAGAUUGGAAGAAAAAUUCAUGUCGAACUGUUGGCAACACCAAGCACCAUGGCCGCAGAAGUAUGCAACUUACAACAGGGGGAUAAUUGGAUCACCCCGAUCUAUAAUUUCCUUGCUCAUGGCACCCUCCCAAAUGAUAAAGUCCAGGCUAAGCAAAUUCGAUACAAGUCUACCCGCUACCUGAUCAUCAAUGAUCAACUCUAUAAGCGAGGUUUUAGCCUGCCAUACUUAAGGUGUCAUACGCCUGCCGAGGCGGAAAUCGUCCUUCGGGAAAUACAUGAGGGAAUAUGUGGAGAUCAUGCUGGAUCUCGGUCCCUAGCACACAAGACUUUUCGCCAAGGAUAUAUUACUGGCCAACACUCCACCAGGGAUGCCAUCAAAGUAUCCCGCUCAUGUGACAAAUGUCAACGAUAUGCAACUAUUCCUCAUUCCCCUCCAGAGCCUCUUACUCCUAUGAUCAGCCCUUGGCCCUUCGCCCAGUGGGGACUUGAUUUGAUCGGCCCAAUGUCGGCAGGGAAGGGCAAAGUCUGUUACGCCGCAGUCGUUGCAGUGGACUACUUCACAAAGUGGGCCGAAGUAGAGAACCCUUGGCAACCAUUACUGAGGCAAAGAUAGAAGACUUCGUGUGGAAGAACAUCCUUUGUAGAUUCGGCAUUCCCAAUGCGAUAGUCACUGACAAUGGGCGACAGUUUGACAACAAGAAGUUCAGGUUGUUCUGCUCUAAGUUCAACAUCAACUUAUGCUUUGCCUCUCCAGCUCAUCCCCAGUCUAAUGGACAAGUUGAGGCCAUCAACAAAAUAAUCAAGCGCACUUUGAAAACCAGCUUGGACAAAGCUAAAGGCUGUUGGCCAGAAUUUGUACCCCAAGUUCUUUGGUCAUAUCGCACUUCAUAUCGGACUUCAACAGGAGAAACUCCAUUCUCACUUGCCUUUGGCACAGAGGCGGUUGUCCCUGUUUGAGCUCGAGCAAGCAACAUUCCGAGUCCAGAACUACAUUCAAAGUGAAAAUGACAAACAACUCACCCUCAACUUGGAUUUAGUCGAGGAACACAGAAACCAAGCUCACUUGAGGAAUGUCGCUUACAAGCAGCGCAUCUCCAACUAUUAUGACUCUAGGGUCAAGCCUCGUUCUUUCAAAAUAGGAGACUGGGUCUUAAAGAAAAGAUUACUCUGCGACAGAGUCCCGAGUGAAGGCACACUUAGUCCAAACUGGGAUGGACCGUAUGAAGUCAUUGGCAUCAGUCGCCCUGGCUCUUACACACUUAGAAGCUCCGAUGGCAAGACCCUUGGCCAUCCAUGGAACGCUGAUCACUUGAAGUACUACUACAAAUAGACUCACGAUGUACAAGUGUUGAGCUAUAGCCGUUCGGCAUCCUAUGUAAUGAAGGCCAUUUGGCAAUGAAUUCAAUAAAGAGGUAAUUUAGCCAACUCAGCCCUCACUCUUUUACAUUCAUAGCAAGCGAUGCCGGAACCCUUCUCAAUCAGAAAGCAAUCCGUCUUCCACAGUCACUACAAAACAAGCAAAUGAAGACCGUGUCAAGCGCCAAAAAAAAAAAAAAAAAAAAAAAAAAAAAACAGCUUCAUCCAAAAAGCUUCACCCGAAAAGCUUCACCUCCAAAGCUUCACCCACAAAGCUUCACCUAAAAAGCUUCACCCAAAAAAGCUUCACCCGAAAAGCUUCACCUCCAAAGCUUCAUCCACAAAGCUUCACCUAAAAAGCUUCACCCACAAAGCUUCACCCAAAAAAAAACUUCACCCGAAAAGCUUCACUUAAAAAAGCUUCACCUACAAAGCUUCACCUAAAAAAGCUUCACCUAGAAAGCUCCCUCUACAUACUUUCACCAUCAAAGCUUCACCAUCAAAGCUUCACCUAGAAAGCUUCAUCUAGAAAGCUUCAUCUACAAAGCUUCAUCUACAAAGCUUCACCAUCAAAGCUUCACCUAGAAAGCUUCAACACAAAACCUUGCUCCAAAUAAACAAAUUUUGUUCACAAAACCCAAGAUGCCCUUGAACUUGUACAAAAACACUUGGGUAAACAUAAACAUUUUUUGUUUUACACCCACAAGGGCCCAAAAUUUUCCUUCUUAUUUAUUCACUUAUAUAUGUUCCCAAACAUAUUAUAAUAGAUCCAACAACAAGCCAAAGUCCCAAGUUUCAUAAUGGACAAAAGUACAAGCAAUUCAUCAAUAAUGAAGGUGCUACAAAAAUUGGAAUCUGCCCCAAAAUAGAAAUCCAACCCAAGAGACUUUUUCUCUCUCUCCCUCUUCCGCCUCCUUUCAUCUAUCAAAUUUCUGCAACCUCUGCUCUUCUCCAAUGGAGCUGAAUUUUAGACACCCUAUAGUUCUUGAGCAUAUGAACAACUUUCAAGAAGGAACCAUUUCUGUUUGAGCGACGGAAAUUACAGUGUUGAAGCUCCAAACAUGAUAGUCGGCUUCUUGCAGAUUUCGAAGCUGUUGUGAUGUUUCGAAGAUCUGGAAAUAUUUAACCGUUAGUUCAUCCUGAAUUUUUGAUAUGUUAUGAAAGAGUCGAUGAGGAACAACUUCAAUGAAGAAAGCAUACCGAUCUGAACAAGAGAAAAUGGAGUUUCGAAGCUCACAACAAAUCUGACGGGUUGACAGAAAAAUAAUAACCAGUCAUUCAUCAUACCUGGAUUUCUGGAGUUAUACUGCUCCGAGGGAUCUCUCAAAUUUGGAUAUGUUGUAGUUCACAAGCUGAGGAACAACUUCAAUGAAGAAAGCAUGCUGAUCUGAGCAAGAGAAAAUAGAGUUUCAAAGCUCACAACAAAUCUGACGGGUUGACAGACAAAUGAUAAACAGUCACUCAUCAUACCUGGAUUUCUGGAGUUAUACUGCUCCGAGGGACCUCAAAUUUGGAUAUGUUGUAGUUCACAAGUUAAGGAACAACUUCGAUGAAGAAAGUAUGUUGAUCUGAACAAGAGAAAAUGGAGUUUCGAAGCUCACAACAAGUCUGACGGAUUAACAGAACAUUGAUGAACAGUUACUCAUCAUACUUGAAUUUCUGAAGUUGUACUACUCCGAUGGAUCUCAAAUUUGGAUAUGUUGUAGUUCACAAGAUAAGGCAAAACUUUCAUGAAGACGACUUUGCAAUCUGAGCUAUAGAGAAAGGUGUUAUCUUGCAUCCACUCAGGCUGAUUAGUGGAAACGAAAAGCAAUUCCACCAAAGAAAAGAUGAAAAAAAGAGAAAAGCUACUAAUUGCACUUGAUCUUGUCUAGUCAAUAGCAUGCAGCAUCAAACACACAAAAGUUAGAAAUAUUUUUAGAUAAAGCAUAUACGAAUGUGUGACAUCGAAACAAGGAUUCGUUACUUUGACAAAUUAGUAACACGCGAGACACCUCAUUCGGCAACUCUCUUCGCCUGAAGACUUGGGGGACUCCCACCAUAUGCUACUGCACCUUGAUACUCGGCAGUCUCACAACCACUCAGUGACUUGGAUUUUCAAGUCUCCAACCGAGAAGUUUUCCUCACUCGGGAAAUUAAGGGAACACUACCUCAAACUACAUGCUUCACUCACAAAGCUUCAACAAUACAGGUUUCAACAAAAGCAAAAAUUCAAAGAACUUUAUGAAGAAAACUUUGGUGUAUUUAACACAAUAUGUUGAAAUGAAGCAAAGCUUAUUUAUUAAUAUUUUCGAUAAGCCACAAAUAUGUACAUAUACAUGAGUCAAAAUAAACAAACAAAAGGGAGCCUUCACAAAGGUUGCUUAGGGGAAGUCUCAGCAGUCGGUAGAGCCCCAGAAAGAGAAAGCACCGGAGGGUGGUUAUCCGGAGCCUCAGUACUUGACAAAACCCCAGAAGGAUGAGGCAUUGGAGGUUCAUCAUUUGAAGCUUCAUUACCAGGUACAGCCCUAGAGGACGAAGGCAAUAAAUGCCUUUGGAACAAACCCACAAACCGCUGAUGAUCAAGUAAAACCUUACCAUCAGAUUCUUUCAUCUGGUCAAGCUUCCUCUUCAUGUUUGUAGCAUAGUCAUGGGCGAGCCGGUGCAACUGCUUAUUCUCAUGCUUGAGCCCUCUAAUCUCCUGUUUGAGACUCAUCACUUCAGCAGCCAAUGAUUCAACUUGGCGGGUUCUAGCAAAUAGGCGUUUGGCCAUAUUAGACACAGAACCUGCACACUGAACACUAAGAGCCAGAGAGUCCUUAACAGCCAACUCAUCAGACCGUUUGGAAAGUAGUCUGUUAUCUUUGGGAGUGAGAAGGUUCCUGGCCACCACUGCAGCGGUCAUAUCAUUCUUCAUCACAGAAUCCCCAACGGUAAGAGGACCAGUAGGGGAUAUGAAGGAUGGGCGCCAUAUGUUGUCUGGAGAAGGCGUGGCUGUCUCUUCUCCAAGGUUCAAGUCAAAACGACGGUCGGAGGGUCCAGACAUUUUCAAAUGUGUUGAAGAAGGAAGAGGUCAGACAAAUCAAGAUCUUAGAAGUGCAAGAAAUGAGCUUCUACUGGUAGAGAUUCAAGUGUGCUGUGGAACUUAAUGCCAGCCUCUAUAAAAAUCUGCACUCGACGGAGCUUCAGAAAUCGAAGAGGCGUUUGCUUUUUCAAAAGUUGGGCUGCUCAGAGACCACGAGGGCCGAUCUCAGAAAUCGAAGAGGCGUUUGCUUUCUCAAAAGCUGGGCUGCUCAGAGACCACGAGGGCCGAUCUCAGAAAUCGAAGAAGCACCUGCCUUUUCAGCCUCGUCAGCACCUGUCACAUGCACAAUCAGCUUUGCGGAAAUUACGGGCACUCUGUCGAAGAUUUCUGGUGAAGUAGAAAGCACGUGAAUCUUACUGUUCAAUCACCGCUCUCCAUAUGCACCAUCAACUCCUCGGGUACCAUAUAUAACUUUGUCAAAGAUCUCUGACAAAGUUUAGGCACAAGAAUUUCGAAGUUCCAGCUACCCUACUAUUACCCAUAAGGGUAAAGGAACAGCACCACUGCUUGACAACUGGAAAGUCCCUAUGUGUGUCGACCUCCGUGUUUUUCGGCAAGACAGGUUGGCAAGAACGUCCAACCUUUACUCACAUUCGAGAAAAGACUCCCAACAUAAUUACUUUCUCAAAAACCGGAGUAGCACCGCUUUCUGAAUCUCGAGAGUCAGAUCCUCGACGGGAUUGCUUGUUCGAAAACCGAAGAGGCACAACUCUCAGAACGUCGAGAGCCAGAUUUCCUUAGAUAAAGUUUGUCUGUAAUCUUCACACGUAACAUCAGCUUUCCAGAUACCACAUACCACUUUUUCAAAGUGCUCUGACAAAAUUAAAACACGUGAAGCUGGCAGCUCCCACUACAUUGCUGUGACCAAGAAGGGUAAAGGAAUAGCAUUACUACUUGUUAUUGGGAAAUCCCUAUAUACAUUGACCUCCCUCCUCAACGGACAGGCAAACCUGCAAAAAUGCUCAACCCUUUCUCGCAUUCGAAAAGGCACCCUCAACAUAACCUCUCGAAAUACUCAGCUUUAUUUCCCCCCGAUAAUACCUCAGCAAAUAAGCCACACCAAGAACAAGAGUAUCUCAUAUCAUCAGGGUCGAAAGCAAGAGUAUCCCAUAUCAUGCUUUCUCCAUGUCUUUGUCUUUGUCCUUGUCCACACCUGCAGGACAAGGAGAAAGAGAGCAGUCAGUCGGAACCUGAAAUCAAACCUCCAAUUUGGAACUGACUGCCUGGAGCCUUUGCCUGGUUGCUUACUUAGCAUUGCUCUCGAGUACUCAUCCUCAACUGCUGUCAAGGUCACGAAUUCCACCGGCAAAUGCCUCAUGACAGUUGAUCAGAUAUUGGCUCUUUACACUGAAGCUGCCAAGCGUGGAUGAGUCACUAUGAAGGAAUGUUCUGAAGGACCAUUUAAAUGCAUAGGUUGCACACCACUUCUGCCAUGCAAAAGAUUGAAGCAGAAGGUUCAACGGUGAGCUGAAACAGAUCACUACAGCACGACACCUUUCCAUACCACAUUCAUUAUUCCGUCAACAGCAAAAGUAUCCCAUAUCAUCAAUGUCGAACGUACUCUAGAUUUGAUGGACUUGUUUUGACCCUCAAAUUUUUGAGUCGGCCUUAUACUCUGAAGGGCACCAGAAAACCCUCCAGCACAGUUCAAGAAUAAGCCUGUGGAAAGUUACUUCUUCAAAAGCAAAAGUAUCUCAUAUCAUCUCUUAUCCAUUUGCUUCUCCUUAUCCUGGCAGUUGAAUGAGAGACAAGGAGAAGGAGAACAAUCAACCGGAAGCCGAAGUCAAACCUCUGAUCCUGGGUUGCUUACUUGGAAGUUUGACUGCUUACCUUGUCUGUCACCUCUUUCGGCAGAUCUCCUAGCUCGGCGACUUGGGGGACUCCUACUAUAGGGUUUGUAUCACACUUGACUAAGCCCGAAACUACAACUAAGCUUCAAGUGAAAUUGAUACAUUACCUUGUGCGUCAACAUCAGCUAAAUACACCAUUCCCGGAUGGAGGAAAGGUACUUCCAGAGAAGGGCAGAUGAAGAUCAGACCACACUUCGGUACUUAGAAGUUUCGUGAUUACUCAAGGGAUUGGAUCUUGCAAGUCCCCAACCGAGGAGUUUCCCUCACUCGGGAAUUUAGGGGAGCACUGUUUGUACCAUACUUGACCAAUCCCGAAACUACCGAGCACCGGCCAACGCUGUACUGUCAAGGACCCAGAAGAGUUCCCCUCCGACCAGGAGGCCAAUCACUACUCGACACGUGUCAAGAUUAGAAGCCAAUCAGAGCGCAGCACGUGUCAACAUCAAGAACCAAUCAUAACAUGACACAUGUCAAUGUGACAAAGCUACAAGUUUUUCUAUAAAUAGGGGUCAUUCCCCCACAAUAUUGCCGAAUGCCAUUUGUGUUAAAUCAUUCACAAGAACUCACUAAAUUGAGAGCUUGAUCCUUUGUACUUGUGUAAGCCCUUCACUACUAAUAAGAACUCCUCUACUCCGUGGACGUAGCCAAUCUGGGUGAACCACGUACAUCCUGUGUUUGCUUCUCUGUCUCUAUUCAUUUACGUACUUAUCCUCACUAGUGACCGAAGCAACCAAGCGAAGGUCACAAAACCUGAUACUUUCUGUUGUACCAAAGUCUUCACUGAUUUUGUGCAUCAACAAGACUCUUUAGAAAUUACAGAUCGAAAAUCUGUGAGUGGAUAUUUCGGAUCGAAUUACGUAGGGUUGUGGACCCCAUCAUUGACUGAGAGUUGACUUUGGGUCAACAUGUCUCGAAUCAUUUUAAAUACUAAAAUUAGUACUAUUAGAGACUAAGUGAAGUCUAGUGGGCUUACAUUGGUUAGUGAGUGACUUUAAUAAAUGUGAUAUGGUUAUUACCUUGGUUUCGUAUUUAAUAUCCUUUGUGGAUAUAACUUGGUUUAUUAAAUGUGAUUUCUAUUAAAAUGUUUUUUAAUAUUUGGCCAUCGAUCUAUUGUUAUGAAAUGUAAUUCGUGGAUUGUAAAUAUUUGUGAAAUGUGAUUUGAAAUACAUGUUGAAUUGUUUGUGAAAUGCGAGGGUUAGUAAUGGAUCAUUAACCCAUUGUCAUAGGGAUUUGUUUGCUUCGAUAUUGUUUUAUUUCUCGCUUCGUUGACCCAUUCUAAAUUUAGUACUUGUGCUUUGUUUCAUUUCGUUAAGCCUUUGUAAAUUGAGCAAAUUGAUUCAUGUUUUGUUUCUUCGAGCCGUUGUUAUGUUUCUUGGACUUCCGCUUGGUUCCGUUGAGUGGUCUAGAAUUGGGUUUCACUGGGGUUCUGUUGAGUGGUCUGGUUCCUUGCUCCGUUUGGAUUUCGUUGAGUGGUCUGGAAUCCCUCGUGCUCCGCGAUUCCGUUGAGUGGUUCGGAAUCGUAUCCUGCUUUGGAUUUCGUUGAGUGGUCUGAUAUCCAUUGUACUCCACAAUUUCGCUGAGUGAUUCGAAAUCAUAUCCACUCGUAUUCCGUUAUGAGGUUCGGAAUCACUUCUACUCCGAAAUUCCAUUGAGUGGUCCGGAAUCGUAUCUUGGUUUGGACUCCUUAAAGUGGUCCGGAAUCCCGGUUGGUAUUUUGGUACCAUUGAGUGGUCCGAAACCUGAUGUUGUUGGAUUUCGUUGAGUGGUCUGAAAUUACAUUCUUCAGAGAUGUAGGCUUGGACCGAUCUAUAUCACUCUAGCCCUCAUUUUGGUGUAUUGGAUGAGUUAAAUUGACGUGAUUGUGGAAUGAUAUUGGAAGGCAUAUGUGUGUGUGAAUGGCAAGAUGACAACUCUUGUUUGGCUUAUGGUUGAUGUGUAGUGUGGUACCUUAUGUUUUCUGCUAGGAAGUGUUUUAUGAAAAGUUCAGAGUUUAACAAAUGGUGAACUACGAAUGGCUUGAUCCCGUCGGAGGGUACUUAGGCAGUCUAACAAAAAGGUUAGAUGCAGUCAUAGAGUAAACGAAAAAUCACUACACAAUUCGAAGUUUGAGUUGUGCUUUGUUUGUACCCCAAAGGCGAGGUAUGUUAAAUAUAUGGGUACUUUGUGACGUCACAUGUCGAUCCUGGACGUACGUCGGGAUCAAGGUGUGACAGAAGACAAUAUCAAUAAUAGUUCACUUAUGUCAUAGGAGUAAUCUUAUACUUGUGUCACAUGGUCAGUGUUAAGUGGACAUGACAAAAAUCAUGUAAAGUGUAACAAAAAUUAAAUUUCGAGUUAAAUGGAAAAAUUUGACACUGAAGAAAAAAAUAUAUUAAAAUCAAAUUUAAGGAGGCAUAGAAACAAUAUGAAUGUUUUAAUAUCCUGUAAAACUCAGUCAAUACAGUUACACCAUCAUUUAUCAUUUUUCUUUUUUCUUCGUUCCGUAACUUCAUUUCUACUGAGAAAAUGCUCCAUUUUCAUGGCUCUUUUUUAUCCUUUCUUUGUGUACUCUCCCUUACGUUUUAUCUAGUUAAAAGAGAUUAUUAAAGAUGGAAGAUCAUUAGCACUUUAGUUAGCAAGUUAUCAAGGGUGUUUGUUCAUUAGCGGAUUCCCCUUGUGUUCAUUAGCAGAAAGGAUAAUAUAUAAGAUGAAUAAUAUAUGAAAGUAUAUAUACAUCAUGGAGGAAUACUGAGAGUCAAAUUGGAUAUAGAAGAUGAUAAAUUAAGUGAGUUGAACUACACAUAAAUGCAUGAUCAUUGAAUUACAUUUGUAGUCUUACUCUCCUCCGCUAAAGCGAGUAAAAUGAAAUUUCCUAAUAGUUUACUUUAAAGUACUAAAGUUCUUGAGCAGCAGCAUAUAAACUGUUUAAUUCGUGACCUUCAUGAAAAAGGAAACGAAGGGUGCAAAGAAAUAUCGUGAUCAAAUAUAUACCAUAAACGGAUCUCGCAAGGUUGUUCUCUACAUGGAUUAUUAAAUAUUUCGAAACAAACCAAAUUCCAAUUAAUUAUUGUAAAGUAGAAAUUGAGAUGAUUGAUUUCAUAAACUACUUAAAUUAAAAACGAAUUAAAUUAAUACAAGUAAACUAAUCUGCAAUAUUAAAGAUGAAAGAAAAGGAACCAGUUUUGGAGAAAUCAAAUUAAGAAAGCACUAGGGUUCUACCAUCACCUAGCAAUCCUAUAAACUUUUAUCAAUUACUUAUGAUCUACACAUGCCAUUUUGAAGGUUAGAUUUUCCUAAUUCAUAUUCUACUUGGAACCUCCAACAUAGAACGUAUAUCUAACAUGCAACCUGUUCGGACGUUCGGAUCAAAUAUGAACAUGAAAGAUUCAUUAUGCUUUAUGAAAACCCUUUGAAAAACCAAGCAACCCUUAAGACGUGGUAUUCAUCCUAAGUGAAAUUACAAUUAUUAAUCACAAGAAGCCAUCGUCAAUUUCAGGGAACCUUCCGACCAAAAUUGCAUCAAAUUACUUUUCUAAAUAUCCUAAUGGUGAUCAAGCAUUAAGACAAUUAGAUAGUUUUAAUCAUGGUGAUUAAUAAUUCAAAGUGUGCAUGCAAUCAAUCAUAAGCAAUUAAAUAAAAAUCACAUAUUCAUACUAAGGCUCAAGGCUUCGCCCUAGCAAAAGGAAUUAGUUACGCAUAUUCAUAAUUAAAAUCAUAGAAAAUAUUAUUAAGAAAAUGAUUGAUAACACCUUAAAGUAGAAAAUCUCCAAGAACCCUAGCAAAGUUCUUUGUCUCUGAAAAACUGUAGACGGCAAAGCAAUAUAUCUGCUAAGCCAUCCACAAACCCUAAAACAUAGGUCUCUUAUUCCAAUUAGGAAACUAAGAAAAAUAAUAAAAUAUCUUAGAAAAUAAAACCCUAAUUAAACUAGGAGAAUCUACCAAGUACUUGUCUAACCACGUUUUAGCCUCAUAUCUCCUCCAAAUCCAGCUCAAGAUAGCUUCUUUUAAAGAUCAAGACGUUCUGAACACAUUUCUAGAAGGCCAUGAAACCAUCCGAGGUCAUCUUGAGCUCAAAAAACGCAAUUUAAGCCAGAAACGUCAUUUUCAAGCACCGCGCAUCGCUCCUUUAUUUUAUCACCAGAAAAUAACCGCUUGGUGGGAAAAUCCCAAAUUUUGAUAUGAUCAAGCUAAGUGACUCACGAACGUCCUCCAACUGGAAUUGCUCCAAAAUUCGUCCAUUUGACCACGUUUUGCUUCAGAGGAAAUCAAAAGUCCUAUAUUAGAAAUACAAUUCAAAAUAUCAAAAUUCUUCCAAAAUAUUAACCAAAAUAUACUAAGAAUAUGGUUAAAUUUAUAAUAUAAAAUCUACACAUCAGUUACUACCAAACCUAGAUUUGGAACUUUCACUACAAGAAAAAUGGACAAGGAACACAAUUGAUUUGUUGUUGUAAUAUAAUAUAUGGAUGGUCGACAUAAAUAGUUCGCUACUAUUCAUCCAAAGAAAAAUCAGAUGAAUUAUUAUUCAUAUCAAGAAAAACAUAUGAGUUACUAUUCAUGCAUAGUAUUUCACUAUUUAUUUGGCGAAAGUUUGUAAAGUGAAUACGAAAGUUAUUAUCCAAAGAAUAGUGUUAUAGUAAUUUUUUGCCUAUAAGAUAAGAGCAAACGAAGGAAGGAAGAAGUGAGGAGAAGAAGAAAGAGAUGAGAGAAAAACAUACAAAGGAAAGAAAGAGGAGUUAUGGAGAAAAAUAAAGAGAAGAUGACAGAAGAGGGAUGUGGAAGAAAUUACUAGUGAGUCAGGCUAGGUAGAAAAGAGAAAAUAGUGAGAGUUAUUUUGUACUCCUAUUAUUUCAGAUAAUGAAAUAAAAUAUUAUUGCUGCCCCAAGAACUUAGGCAAACUUGCUGAAUCUCGUAAAUAUUAUGUCUUAUUUACUUUAUUCCACUAUACACUGUCAAUUUUACAACAUUUAUAUCCUUUUUUUAAAUUUUAUUGAACAUUAUACUAUCUCAAAUGUGCCCCCCUGAACAAAAAGUACAUUAGUUAGUGCCCAAAAAGAAAAAAAUGAUGUAUUUGUGCCAACUAAAAUUUGAGCACGGUAGUUCGCGCCGAUAUUUAAGGCACAAAUAUGCUGUCAAUAGUGCCCUAAUCUUUGCGAACAAAAUGCCAUAGUGUAUCUUAUGACCAAAAAGCACGUUUAUAAAGAGCACAUAAAACAUUUUAAUUGCUACAUUAUUGCUAUUGACAUAAGGGCACAUAUGUUAGUGUCCUUAAGCCUCAUGGCACAAAUAACUUUUUGUGCUGACAUGUAUUUUUGUAGUGUUUGAAUAUUUAGUACUGUUGGGAAUGACACAUCAUAUUCGUAUAUUUGUGAUCUUCAGAUAUUAUCACGAUGAAUGUGUACGAGACUCACGUGGAGCAUAAUUCUAUGUGGCCACUUAGCCCCACUUUCCACACAGCCGGAAAAUCGGCAAGACUUUCAACAAAAAUGAGGGGACAGUACAACUUCUGUAACUUUCAUUGUGUGUUUUUGUUUUUUUAAUUGAAUGGUUAUGGACUACUUAUCGUACGAAGAACAACAAACCUAAGCCUACUUUCUCACGUCACAUUAUAUGGUGUACUAAUAUACUAUAACCAUGGAAGAAAAUAUCUAAAAUAUCGCCGAUUUUUUUUUAGUUAUCGAUAUUUUAAUGAGUAUUCAAUGAAUUUUCGUCAUAAUAUCGCGAUAUUAGCUAUAAUAUCGUGAUAUUAGUCCAAAAAUUCCUGAAAAUUUUGAAAAGUCUCAAUUUUGAGCAUAGAGGGGUUCGAACCCCUCCCACUUAACUCCUUAACGCCUUAACCACUAUACCACUUAUGUUGUUGUGAUAAUAUGCUACAAUAUUUAUAUAUAUUCUUUUGUUUUGAAUUCUUUUUACAAGAAACAAAUUUGCACAUUUUCCAAAUUUUUUGUGGUAUUAUAUUUUAAAUUGUGUCAAUUAAUUACUUAGUCAAUGGCAUGUGGUUUUUAAUUUUUCUAUUUUUUAUUUGGUCACUUACAUGGUAGGGCUGGAAAAAAUUCCAGAAAAUCUCAAACCAAACCGAAAAAGUCUCAAACCCAAACUGAAAAAUCCCAAACCAAAACCAUCCUGAAGUUCGGGAAUCCCAUCUCGAAAAAUACCGAAAUUUUCGAUAUGGGAUUGGUUUCCAAAUCCCAUUUGUUUGGUAAUCCCAAAAAAUACCAAAGUAUUCGGUUUCCUAUUGACUUUUGGGUUUUGGUUCUUGAAAACCAUUGUCAUGGUUGCUAACUACUCUUCAAAAUACACUCACUCUAUACAUAGAGAUGAUGAAGAUAGUGAAAAUUUUGAACCUCAUAGGAACUCUAUGUGGUACUAAGUCACUCAUGUAUCUUACCAUACAAUGUAUAAAGUGUAAAAUAUUGUACUAAUUCAUUAUAUAUAAAUGAUUAUGGUGUGUUUAGACUUCUUUCAUUAAUUUCUACAUAUUUUCUACACUCACAAUGUUUGUCAGCUCGCUAUAUAAUCAACUUGAUAAUGUUAAAUCCAUCAUGCAAUGCAUUUCCUUCCAAUUUUUUGUGAUAAACUAAUAGAUAAUUGACUAAAUAAACAUCCUGCAAAGUUUCAAUAAAAAUUUCCAAGUUUUUCUUACAAUUUCCGUGGUUUCCAUGUAAUUUUUAUCGAUAUCGAUAUUAUCCCGAUAUUUCCAUCGUUAUUUCCGUGUUUUCGGACUACCGAUAUUUCCGAUAUUACCGAUAUUUUCUUCCUUGACUAUAACAAACAAAUAAUUUAUGUAUGUACAAUUCUCAAUUCAAUGAAUCAAGUAAUUAAUGGUCCAUCAUAAAAAAUAAAAUAAAAAAAGAAGGAUAAUACUAGGAAGAUUAAAAUUUUAAAUUAAAUUUACAAAUCAAAUAAUAUGUCAUAAAUAAGAAAUAAGCAAGUUAAAUGACACUUAGCAAUAAUCCAAUAAUAAACUUUCACAUAAUUUGAUUUACAAAAUUUAGUUUAAAAUUUUGAUCUCACUAGCAUUAAUAAAUAUAUAUAAAUUUUCAGAAAAAUACUAAAAGUUGGGGUCAUUGCAUGAUCGAGCCGGUUAAUUGUACGUUGAGAGUUUGAAUUUUAUUCAUUAUCAAUUUGCUUUUUCAUCGACAAAUCACAUUCUAACAUGAUAAUGACUAGGGUCAAAUCAUGGCCAUUCAACAUGUCACAUCCCGACCCAGGGCGGAUCACUUCACGGACCCGUUCCACCAUCGUAGCACGAUAUUGUCCGCUUUGGGCUUACCAUUCCUUCACUGUUUUGUUUUUUAGGAACUCACGAGCAACUUCCCAAUGGGUCACCCAUCCUGGGAGUGCUCUGGCCUCAUUCUCGCUUAACUUCGGAGUUCCUACGGAACCUGAAGCCAGUGAGCUCCUAAAAGGCCUCGUGCUAGGUAGGGAUGAGAAUAUACAUUUAAGGAUCAUUCCCCUGGGCGAUGUGGGAUGUUACAAUCCACCCAUCUUAGGGGCCAGACGUCCUCGUCGGCACACUUCCGACCAAGGAUUGGCUCUGAUACCAUUUGUCACAUCCCGUCCCGAGACGGAUCACUUCCCGGGCUCGUUCCACCACCGUAGCACGAUAUUGUCGCUUUAGGCUUACCAUUCCCUCACGGUUUUGUUUUUGGGAACUCACGAGCAACUUCCCAGUGGGUCACCCAUCCUGGGAGUGCUCUUGCCUCAUUCUCGUUUAACUUCGGAGUUCCUACGAAACCUGAAGCCAGUGAGCUCCCAAAAGGCCUUUUGUUAGGUAGAGAUGAUAAUAUACAUUUAAGGAUCACUCCCAUGGGCGAUAUGGGAUGUUACACAACAACUAAGAUAUUUUCGGAUCGAAUAGGGAUCCUCUUUGGAUGUUUUUUGUGAGAAUUUCAGAAAUCUUUCAAUUAUAUCUGUUCAUCAUAAUUUGUGCGGUCAGUUUUCGUCAGGUAUUGUUUAUAUUUAAUUUUAAAUAAAAAAAUUUACAAUAAUUUCUAACUGCAAGAUGUAUAAUGAACGAAUAUAAUUAAAAGAUCGGUAGAAUCCUCACAAAGAGAAUCCGAAGAAGUUGCUCAUUCUUUCGGAAUGGUGAAAAAAUGAGGAUACUUUAUGGGUGUGUUUGUUGCACCGGACUAGCUCAGACUGGACUAGCUUCAAGAACUAAGCUGAACUAUCUUUGUGAAGCGUUUGAUGUAGUGUCGGACUAAAAAGCAGGAUAAUGAAAAUAAUAAUUAUUAAUUUUUUUUUUCAUUUUCAUUUUCUGUUUCUUGUUCUAGAACACUCUCCCUGGACUAAGAAACCUCUCCCUUCCCUCAGCCUUUUUUUCGUCCAAAUUCCACAACUCUGGACUAAGAAUCUAUCUUCUCUCUCCUUUUUUCGUCCAAAUUCUACAACUUUCUCCCUCCAUUCCAAUCAAUAAAGCUUCCAAAUCACAAAGCGCAACACAAUCACGAAAUUUAAUUGAAAUCGAAAUCGAAAUCGCAGCUGAAUCUCCUGUAUUCACAAAGGUGACGCUCUGAUUCUAAUCCCCACUCAAGUCUAGGUCGCGAACCAAGACCGAUUAAACAAGAAUCUCAUCUCCUCGAGCUUGGAAAUUACUAGGUCAGGUCAGUUUGUGCUUGGUCUGGUGGUGUGAUUUCACAGGAUAGAGGAUAGAAGAGAAGACACGAGGGAAGAGGGAAAGGACGCGAUUUUGGGACGCGAGCAUCCAUGGGAGAAUGAGAGAAGUAGAUAGAGGAGGUGAGAGCAGAGUAAGGCGUCUUAGCUAGUCCCAUGGUUUUGGAGGGGACACACUUAGACUAGCUAGCCCCGUUGUUAGUUGAGGCAAGUCCUCGCUAGUACCACUAAUGUCAUCCCAAGAGCAAACAAACACGGAUUGUAUAUCUUUAAUCAAAUCCAAUCAAAUCCAAUCCAGUGAGAGCUAAAGAAGGCAAACAAAUGCCCCCUAUUUUCUUGAUCUUACCUUUUCUCUCUUCCGGUCCGGAUCUAGUAGCAAUUUGCAUGCCUUGUACUUAUGUGCUGGUUUUUUUUUUCCUUCUUUAUUCAACUAAUCAAUUAUUAUUGCGAAUUUUAACGAAAAGCUUUCAGUAUUGUUCACUUUAAUGAAAAACCAAAAUUUUAUACUAAAAAAUCAAUUCUUAUACUAUUCAUUUUAUCUUUUAUUUUGUUUUUAUCGUUAAAACUUAAGAUUUUCAAACAUUUUUAUUAGUUUUCCUAUUAUUAUCUCUUCCCCUCCCCCUCUUUCUAUAUUUACACCCCCAAUUAAAAGUAAAAGAGAGCAAAGUUAUUUCCACACCAUUAUUCCUAAAUAGCCUCAACAGUCCAAUAUUGUUUUUAUCUUGAAUCCACCCAGUAAUCCCUUCGUUAAACUCAAUAUUGAAGAAUUUAUUGGUAAGUUCAUCGCUUCUCAAUUUCGCAACCUUUUGAAUCAAUAAACUAAGCCUUCAAGCAUCUAAUUAAAACAAACAAACAAAACCAGAUACAAUUAAUCUUUUGCUCUUUGAAGACCAACUUUAGUAAGCUUUUUUAUGGUUUAUUAAACUCUUAUCUAAUUUUGUCGACCAAAUCACAAAACCCAUCUAAAGAGUACCUAAAUUGGUAUCCGUGCUAUUGCCGACAAACCCAAAGUUUUAAUUUGUUACACGUUUCUCACUAUUUGCGUUUAUAUCAUGAAUCCCUUCUUAAAUUCAAGAAUUGUAUAAUAUCUUUGCUCAAUCGAAUUUCUCUUUAAUAUUAAUUGUGAUGUGAGUUGCAAACACCUAAAUGAAGCAGCAACUUAAAUCCUAGAUCUUUUGCUUGAUUUUGAGUUGGGUUGUGAGAACCGGUGGUGCAUCGGAGAGAGAGAGACGCAGAGCUGCCUACGUCACUCUAGUCCCCAAAAAAGCUCUUUCUUUAUAUUUUAUUAUGUCUCCUAUAAAAUUUUGCCAUAAGGUAAACUUGUUAUUGUUAUUAAAACGUGUGUGGAAUAAUAGACAAUGAGUGGGGCGGAACUGAGAUCCUUGCAAGAUGUCUUUUCUGCGGGUUUGACGGACCCUUAAAUCCUAGUCGAUCACGCAAAUCAAACGGCCAUAAAUAAAUCACGAAAACGACGCAGCACCACCCUUUUCUUCUAUUCACUUAUGUUCUCUCGUCUUUUUCUUUUUUUUUGGCCGGGGCGACCGCCGGGGGUGGGGGGGGGUGGGAAUAGUAUGCUCUCUUUCUAUCUUUGUUCACUGCCUCCAUCUCCAACCUUCUUCCUGGAUUUUGUUAUCAUUAAUUCCAUGGAGUUCUUAAUAGGAAAAAAAAAAUGCAAAAAUAGUUCUUGGGGCUUUUUAAAAAAAAAAAUUCAGAACCUAGACAUGAAGAGAGGCAGGGAAAAAUUCUAAAAGCAUAGCGGUGGCAAAUUGCAAUCAAAGGGAAAAAAAUAAUAAAGAGAACAAAAAGAAAACAGUGAGUUAUGAGUCUUGAUUACUAAUAUCCAUGGCGAUGGUGCUACGAAUAGAGAGAAAGUGAGGAUAAAACGGAACGGAACGGAAGGAAGAAACUAGAAAGGGGUGUGGCUAUUAAUUACAUUAGGAAAGAAUCAAAGAGCAAUAAGGAUUGUAGGAAAAUGAAGAACUUGAGAGAGAAAUAAUUGAGAGAGAGAGAGAGAGAGAGAGAAAGAGAGAGAGUAAACUGUAUGAAGUGUAUUUCAGACUUGAUGAAAUGGAUUCUCACAAUUACAGAGCUUUUGUACACACAUAUAUCUAGCUUAAAACUUCAUUCUUACACUUCUAUAAGACUAACUAAUCUUUUUAAUAGACAUGAUAGCCUCAUUAACUAACUAAUGUUAAGCUGCCAUUUAUUAACACUCAUCAGAGGCAACAUUGUUUCGUGCAAAAAAAAAAAAAAAAAUAUAUAUAUAUAUAUAUAUAUAUAUUUCUAGUCGUUUGAUUUGUGUGAACGACUAAGAUUUAAGGAUCUGUCGGAUCCGCAUAAUUAAAGAGACAUGGAGAUGAUCUGAGUCCGGGGUGGGCAUAAUUAUGAUUAUUUUAUUUAUAAAAAAAAUUCAGAUAAUUUGACUACAUUUGAACUUUCCAAGUCAUCCCCCAGCCGUAGAAUGGUUGCCGCCAAAAUAUUUCGCCUAAGGUAGUGUUGCACAUGUUGAAUGUUUGUUGGAUAGAAAAUAAUACCUCUAGAAUUUCAUACAAUUUUUUUUUGUUGAAUGAACGAUGUUAUCUACUCUAAGGAGAGGAGAUAGGCUUAUUUACGAAAUUGCCACCCCUUCAACCGUGCACGUGUCGACCAUGUAAAAAGGGUGGGGAUGGAAACGCACUACGUUUUUGUUUGCUUCCUGAAACCCGAAGCUCUGAUUGCAUCCUUAGGAGAGUUGGGGAACGAGUGUCCAUUGCAGAGAGAUGGUACUAGCUGAACAGAGUUUCUCUCUGCAACUCCUCUCCCAUAGACCUGAACCUUAACUAUGGAAACUCGCUUCUCUGUCUCAGAUGCUUCUCUUCUUCUCCCCAUUUAAAACCUUAUCUCUAUUUCUCCUCUUCUUCUUCCUUGCUCUUCGAAAGAUCCCAUCUUCUGGGUUUAAUCCCCAUUUCUCUCUCAUCCCUAACGUGUGCAUGUCAGAUAUCCAUCCCAAAUCUUGGCCCAAUAACACUUCAGAGGUAAAGUUCAACCUUCGUCCCGUUUAGUUCUUGUCCAAAAUGCAGAUUAGAUAAAGAUGAAUAAGAAAUGUCUCAUAUAAUUCUAUUCUCUAUGUAAGGUACCUCGAUUGACAACGAUGAUAUCGAAGAGCGACUCAAGCUGAAAAAUGGACAAGGAUUGUCUGCUCUCCACUUCCGGUGCCCUCUCCGUGCCCUCCUAUUUUGUGUGAUCACGGUUAAGCCAUGUCAACAUUUUAUAUUGUUUUUAAUAGAUAUAAUAAGACAAAAAUGAAUAGUAAUAUAAAAUGUUGACGUGGCUUAACCGUGACCACACAAACAAGAGGGCACGGGGAGGGCACUGGAAGUGGAGGGCAGACAAUCUUUGUCCCUGAAAAAUUGUGCGGAUACCAUGGUCCGAAAUGCCGAUAAUAUCAGCGAUAUAUCGUCGAUAUUAUCUGUUUUUAGGGGAACCGAAAUCUUUUUCACUAUCCAAAUGGUUUUCGGGAUAAUAUCGGAAUGGGAAUACUCGGAGAAGAACGCCGAAGCUGUAGAAGCUCCGGCCGACUGUAAAACAGGACCCUAGACUCCGAUCUAGGUAUGAAAAUGAAAUAGAAGACGAGAUGAACAUUUUUAUAUAUGAAGUUUGCCGUGAAACGGUCGGAGGUGUUCGGAAAGUGAGUCGACACCCACGGCCUCGCCGGAGUUCGCCGAGUUGCAGAGACGAGAAGGAGAGGGAGAAAGACGAGGUUGCUGAUGAUGAUAUGUGUGCGUGUGUGUGUGUAUGUGGGUCUCGGACCCUUGGUGCAGAGAGAAAGGAGAGAGACGGCAGCGACGAGGAAGAAGCAGAAGUCGAUCUGCCGAUGUGGGUCUCUGUGCAUGUGUGUGGGAGAAGGAUCGAGAGACCUUGGGUCUCUGUGCAUGUAUGUGUGUGUGGGAGAAGGAUCGAGAGACGUGGGAGAUCUGUGCUUGUUGUGGGAGAAUGGAGAAGGGGGAGAAGGGAGCUCAGAGUCAGAGAAGAGAUAAGGUUCGAGAGUCUGAGAGAGAGACUGUAUGAGUGUGAGGUGAGUGUGCGUGUGUGGUGUCAUGUCUGUGUGUGUGUGUGGUUGGGUCAUCUCAUCUGAGAUCUGACUCACGCAGCCUGACUGAUUUCACAAUAUGUCAAUAACUUUCUGCAAUUUCAGACCAUGGACAUCAAAUAAUAGUGCUUUUAUAAUGAAACCGUGUGCCACUGUGAGUCCGUGAUAUUCUUUCACAUGCAGAACAGUGUGCCAUUGUCUAUUAUAUUCUUUCACCUUAUCAAAGGUGGAGUAUCGGAGGAAUUCAAAGCAUUUUCGUUUCUUCUUCUUCCCUUACCAUUUUCAAAGCCAUUCCAGAUCCAUUCCAAAGCUUGAACACAAAGGGUUCCAUAUUUAAGGUAAGUUUUACAAACUUAUAUUUAUAUUAUUGUAAUUUAUACAACAACAAAUAAAUUUGUGUGGACUCAUAUGUUAAUUUUUUAAAGUAAUUAAUACUUGCAUGUUACUUUUUGUAAGUAAUUAAGUAAUGUUAACAAUUACAUGUUAAUUUUUUUAAGUAAUUAAGUAAUGUUGUAUAAUUAUUCCCUAGGAUAAUUUUAACAUGUUUAAUGUUAUUUAUUAUUUUAUUAAUAUUAGGUUUUAUUAUCAAAUUGGAUUAUUAUUGAUUAAUAUUAGGGUUUUUUUUAUUAUCAAAUUGGAUUAUUAUUCAUUAAUAUUAGGUUUUAUUAUCAAAUUGGAUUAUUCUUCAUUAAAUUGGAUUAUUCAUUAAUUUGGAUUAUUAUCAAAUUGGAUUAUUCAUUAAAUUGGAUUAUUAUUAAAUUGGAUUAUUAUCAAAUUGGAUUAUUAUUCAUCACCAUGUUUUAUAUUAGGAUUAUUUUUUUAUCAAAUUGGAUUAUUAUUCAUUAAUAUUAGGUUUUAUUAUCAAAUUGGAUUAAUAUUCAUUAAUAUUAGGUUUUUUUUUAUUAUCAAAUUGGAUUAUUAUUCAUUAAAUUGGAUUAUUAUCAAAUUGGAUUAUUCAUUAAAUUGGAUUAUUAUUCAUCACCAUGUUUUAUAUUAGGAUUAUUUUUUUAUCAAAUUGGAUUAUUAUUCAUUAAUAUUAGGUUUUAUUAUUCCAUAUUAUUUGUAUAACUACUUAAAUUUUUACAAUCAUUUUCUUUACUUCGUAUUUAAUUCUUCUGUAGAAUAACUUUAUUAUUUAGGGUCUCUUAUUUUAUCAAAAAAUAAUUGUCUAAUUUUCAUGAAAAAUAAAUAUAGGUACGUUUAAGAUGUCCAGUGGAGUUACUAAACGUGAUCCAGCUUGAGAACAUGGAGACCCAAUAGACGGAAACAAACAUGGCACAAUUUGCAAAUAUUGUGGUCGGGUAAUGAAGAGUGGCGGAGUGACACGAAUUAAGUACCAUCUUAGUGGAUUAGAUCUAGCAAAAAAUGUCCAAUGAUGCGAUAAUGUCCCCCCAGAAGUGAAGGCAUUCAUCAGCACAUUAUUAAAAAAUAAAAAACAGCAGAAGGAAUAUAUAACACAUGGAAUGGAAAAUAUUCGAGCUGGGCUACAAGGAGAAGUCAUUGGCCAAACGGUUGACAGUGAUGAUGAUGACGAUGAGGACGAAUGUGAUGAUGACAUGGGACCUGAAGAACGACGCAGUUUGAAACAAACAUUACGUGCCUCCAAACAGUCAGCAUGGGAAAGAGAACACCUUCAUAAAAUUCCUAAUAGAGCACAAGGUUCCGGGACAAGUGGUGGUGCACAACUGAGACGGGGAGGCAGUCUUAGAGAAUCACAACCAACACCACCAAUAGCCCCAAGUUUAUAUAAGUCAUCCAAAGCACGUCAAAAGAGUGUUUGGAGUUAUUUCACUGAAGGUAAUGUGAAGGAGGGAAUGGGGCGUCUAAUUAGCAAGUUCUUUAUCUAUGAAAAUGUCCAUGCUGAGGAAGCAUCAUCACAUCAUUUCAAAAAUAUGGUAGUGGGAUGUCAACAGGCUGGUGUUGGAGUAUAACCUCCCACUCCCUAUGAGAUAAGAAACAAAUAUUUGGAUAUGGAGUAUAAAGACAUUGGCAAGUAUGUUAACAAGUUGAGGUCAAAGUGGGAAACUAAUGGUUGCACAAUCAUGUGUGACGGAUGGACUGGCCCGACCAGAUUGUCUAUCAUAAACUUCAUGGUAUACUCCAAGGGAAAGACAAUUUUUUUUAAGUCUGUUGAUGCUUCAGACCAUAUAAAGAACUACAAGUAUAUUUACAAAUUAUUAAGGGAUGUAAUCAUGGAGGUGGGAGAGCAUAAUGUUGUCCAAGUCGUGACCGACAACGGUUCUGCAUUUGUCAAAGCUGGAAAAAAGUUAAUGAAGCAUUAUAAUGUGUUUUGGACAUCAUGUGCAGCACAUUGUAUUGAUCUCAUGUUUGAGGCAAUGGGGAAGAGAGAGAAUGUUGCUACUGUGGUCAAAAGAGCUAGUACGAUCACAAAUUAUAUUUACAAUCACGGUUGGUUGUUGGCAAAGAUGCGUGAAUUUUGCAAAGGAGAAAUUAUUCGUCCAGCUACCACUCGAUUUGCCACCAACUAUAUUGCAUUAGACAGCCUACUUAAGAAGAAAGCAGGGUUGAAGCAACUAUUCACUAGUGACGAUUGGGCCAACCACAAUUUCAGCCGCUCAAAUACAGGUCGUAUGGUGGAAAGUAUAGUGCUUGAUCAUGCUUUUUGGACUCAAUCAGAACAUGUGUGCCAAGUGUUUGAACCUCUUUACAAAGUUUUACGGAUCGUUGACACAUAAGUGUAUCCUACUAUGGGGGCAGUAUAUGAGUUGAUGCGUGUAGUGAAUGAUGAAUUGGAAAGAAAACAUGGUGCAAGGUGGGUCAUAAAGAUAAUUGAAGACCGAUGGUAUAAAACAUUAUACCGCAAUUUGCAUGCAGCAGGUAUAAAUUAUGUCAUAAUUUGCAAUUCAUUUCUUUAGUUGCAUAAGUAUUAUUUCUCUUAUUAGAGUAUGUGUUUCUUUGAACAUCAUAUUAUUUGAAUCCUAUAUACCAAUACAGACCCGGUGUUGGAGAUGAUGGUACCCUUAUAUGUGCUGUACAUAAUGUAUACUCUAAAUUAGACCCUGCAUCACCAACAGUUGGCCAAUUUGGAAAUGAGGUACACAAUUACUUAAAUUAUAAUAAUUACUUUGUUGGAUUAAACUAACACGAUUUAUUGAAUUCAGCUAACAUGGUUUAAAGAUGCAAGAAGAACUUUUGGAGAACCAACAUCAAUUGUUGCUCGAACAACAAUGUCUCAUAGUGAGUGUAAACAUAUUUCACUAUAAGUUUAUAAUAGAAUUUGUUCGAGUUAUUGGGCUUAUCAACAUUGUUUUUCAUUAUAGCUGAAUGGUGGAUCAUGUAUGGGACCGAUGCACCAACUGUGAGAAAGUUAGCAAUCAAAGUAUUAUCACAAACAGCUUCCUCAUCUGCUUGUGAAAGAAAUUGGAGCACAUUUGCACUCAUACACACAAAGCAAAGAAAUAGGUUGGCUCAUAGUAGGUUGGAAAAAUUAGUUUAUUGCUACUACAACAUGAAGCUUCAAAUUCGAGAUAAGGAAGCAGAAAUAGAUCAUGUCGACCGUGGUGACCCACUAGAUGUAUUUGAUAUUAUUGGUGAAGAUGAUGAUACAGAGGGUAACCAACUUUAUCAAUGGAUUAGACCUCUUCAUUUAGAUGAUGAUGAAGGCAACCCAGCUCCCAGAGUUGCUGAAGAAGCACGUAAUGAAGGGAUAAAUGUAGAAAGAGUAUUAGAGGAGGAGGUGGGAUCUAGCAGCGCUGACUCUUUGGAAGAACUUUUGCGCCCAAGACCAAGAAACACUGGAAUUCCACCUUCUUCCAAUCCUACACAACCACAACAUCAUGCUGAUACUAAUGAUAGCUCUAGUACAAGAUCAGGAGACUCACCUACCACCGGAGGUGGGAAUGAUGAAGGAUACAGUUGAGCUGGAGGUAGUGGUGGUGGAUAUGGAAACUAUUAUGGACCACCUCCCGGAUUUAUGACCCCCUUCACUGGUGAUGCAAACUUCACGCAUGCAACACAGGAUGAUGACCAUGGCAGUAGGCGGGCAGGACCAGGAAUUGGUGCCAUAGGGAAUGACUAUACUCGUAGAGAAAGAGGCAAGGGGAUUUUGUCAAGUCAAGAAGAUGACUCGUUAUCUAGAACUUCGGACUCUGUUGGAGUGGGAAGUAGUAACUAUGGUUAUACUAAUAACCAACCAUUUCCCUACCCUUCAUAUCUCAUUCCUGUUGGGAUGGAAUCGAGCGACUCAUGGAAACAAUCCCAAACUCAAUCUUCAAAAUGAUUUUGCUUAUGGACAACCUCAACCAAUCUCGGAUCCAUAUGGGUGGCAUGUUAACAAUUACAUGCAAAACUAUUUUGGGGAUUUAUCAUUUGAUAACUACUCUUCACAAUACACUCACUCUACACAUAGAGAUGAUGAAGAUAGUGAAAAAUUUAAACCUCAUAGGAACUCUAUGUGGUACUACAGUGUAAAAUAUUGUACUAAUUCAUUAUAUAUAAAUGAUUAUGGUGUGUUUAGACUUCUUUCAUUAAUUACUACAUAUUUUCUACACUCACAAUGUUUGUCAGCUCGCUAUAUAAUCAACUUGAUAAUGUUAAAUCCAUCAUGCAAUGCAUUUCCUUCCAAUUUUUUGUGAUAAACUAAUAGAUAAUUGACUAAAUAAACAUCCUGCAAAGUUUCAAUAAAAAUUUCCAAGUUUUUCUUACAAUUUUCGUGGUUUCCAUGUAAUUUUUAUCGAUAUCGAUAUUAUCCCGAUAUUUCCAUCGAUAUUUCCGUGUUUUCGGACUACCGAUAUUUCCGAUAUUACCGAUAUUUAAUACCUUGGCGGAUACCACGUGAUUCUCAAAUCCAAAAGGUAAGGUAAAAAUGGAAUUGGAUCCUCUCUGAGGCAAAGCCUCAGGAUCCUCCUAACCGGACAACACAGGCCGUUGGAUUUUGAUCUAACAGCUACAAACCAGGGGUCCCUCUAAAAGUUAUAAUAAUUGUAGCCGUUUGAUCAAAAUCCAACGACCCGUAUUGUCCGGUCAGGAGGAUCCCGAGGCUUUGCCUGGUAGAGGAUCUAAUUCCGCAAUCUGACACCUCCCAAAAUGAUUUGACAAGUACAAUCUUAUAUAUUAAGUUGUCUUCUCCCCAAUUUUAAAUAUUUGGAAAUGACCCAAGAAGGGUUAGGAUUUCUCUAAGCUUCCUAUGUAAUAGUGUGCUGCAUGCGUAUGUAGAUUUGAUAUAUGAUGUAAAGAACAUGUUCUGGUCUGAAAACAAAAUUUAUUGUUGAUAUAUACUUACAAACAUUAUAAUGAAGAAUGUGAAUUAUCAAGCAAUAGAUGCAUACAGUUUACCAUCUUUAUUACUUUCGGAUUUGAAUUGCAUUUUAAAGACACAAAAGAUACAAUUUGUAGUGUGUUUCAUUCAUAUUUUAAUUUCUACAUUAUAGUUGGAGUGCCAAAAGUUGAAUUGGAAUUUGUCAAAAACACUAUAUAUGCCAUCUGACUCUUUUUAGUGUUUGGGUUUGAAGGUGCCGUUUUCUAUUGUUUGCGUUUGAAGGGGCCCUGUGAAAUGCACCUUAGCAAUUGGCUCUCAAUCCAUUUCAUUUCAAGAGGAUACGAAGAAUCCCAAUGCCAUUGGUUGCUUGAGUGGUAUUUUUGUCUCUAUUUUUUGUCCUUUUUAUCAUAUAUUUUCGUGUAAUUAUUUUUAAAAUAUUUUGGAUGUUCCGGAUUUAUUUUCCUUUUUGCAAGCAAAAAUUGCAAUUCAUAAGUUAAAAAAGUAACCUCCACGGGCUGCAAAGUUUUCCCCUUGCAAAGCAAAAUUGCAUCAGUUUGGAUUUAUUUCUAACUGAGUGAAGUUACAUGUGUUUUAUGAUCAUAAUCAUUAAUAUAAUCCUACAUAUGUUAGUGUCCUUAAGCCUCAUGGCACAAAUAACUUUUUUGUGCUGGUCAUAUUUUUUUUUUUGUAGUGUUUGAAUAUUUAGUACUGUAGGGAAUGACACAUCAAAUUUAUAUAUCUAUGAUCUUCAAACAUUAUCACGAUGCAUGUGUACGAGACUCACCUGGACCCUAAUUCUAUGUGGCCACUUAGCCCCACUUCCCACACAGCCAGAAAAUCGGCAAGACUUUCAACAAAAACGAGUGGACAGUACAACUUCUGUAACUUUCAUUGUGUGUUUUUUUUUCUUCUUAAGAAUGGUUAGUGACUACUUAUCGUACGAAGAACAACAACCCUAAACCUUAAUUUUGUGAACCUUUCAUUGUUUUUGCUAAACACUAGGCUUCACAUACGUGCUCACGUGAAGACAUUUUUGGAAUCACGAUGUGUUAUGCACAACUUACAUGUUUUAAAUGUAUUUAUAUGCGUAAAUUGACAAAAGGAAAAUUAAAUAUUUGAAGUAAAUGAAUAAUUUUAGAUCAUGCUAAAAGAAACCCUUCAUAAACCAAUUAAAGCAGCUGAAUUCACAUAAUAAAAUCAGUUUCUAUAGAAUUUACAUUAAGAAUAGAGAAAAUAAUAUUUAAUAAACAAUUGAUUGAAUCACAUUAUUGCUAGCUCAUUGUGAGGUUAAGCUCAUCCCCUCCCCCUUAGUGUAGAUAAUAUCGUUUGUUAAAAAAAAUCAUUUGACAAUUAAUUUAAUCACAUUAUUAUCCACGUGUGAAAGACCCUUUUUUAUAAAGAAAAUAAUAUUUAAUAAACAAUUGAUUGAAUCACAUUAUUACUAACUUAUUGUAAGGUACUAAUUAAAAAAAAUUACUAAUUUAUCACCGGCACUACGCACCUCUUAAGAUGUUUUGAACAUAAUAUUCAUCAUUUUUCUUAUUUUUUUUUACUAUAUUUUUCUUUCCCCUUCAUGUGGGCACCAUCAACUUUCACUUAUCCUUUCAUUUUUUUUAUUUUUUUCUCUCUUCCAAUAUAUGUUAUGAUGACCGAAUUACCCCUGCAUUAUUUGAUAUAUUAUAUUGGGUUGCUUUUGAAUUUUUUUGGUUGAGAGGCAAUUUUGUCCUAAUAUUUUUGUCAAAUGCGUGACCCCAAAUUGGGGCUCUCGCUUUCUAUUAGAUUGAUGACUACGACCCCCGUGAGUGAAAGCUACAUUGAUAUUCCAUUCCAUGCAUCUUCCUUUUUCACAUACAUACGUAGUACUUGUAAAAUUUUCAUCACCAUACAGCUCUAUAAAGCAUCUCCAAAAAACUAAACAAAAUUCUAAGAGUGAUUAGAGAAACCAAACUUUAUAAGUUAGUUGCAGCAUUAUUGCUAUUAACGUAAAGAGCACAUUCAUAAAGAACAAAGAACACGUUCAUAAAGAGCACAUAAAACAUUUUAAUUGCUGCAUUAUUGCUAUUGACAUAAGGGCACAUAUGUUAAUGUCCUUAAACCUCAGAUAGGACAAAUAACUUUUUGUACUCAGUGACUAUAUUUUUUUGUGGUGUUUAACAUUUAGUAUUGUUGGGAAUGACACAUCAUAUCCAUAUAUCUUUGAUGUUCAGACAUUAUCACGAUGCAUGUGUACGACACUCACGUGGACCUUAAUUCUAUGUGGCCACUUAGCCCCACUUCCCACACAGCCUGAAACUCGGCAAGACUUUCAACAAAAACGAGUGGACAGCACAACUUCUGUAACUUUCAUCGUGUUUUUUUUCUUAAUUGAAUGGUUAGUGACUACUUAUCGUACGAAGAACAACAACCGUGAACCUUAACUUUGUGAAACUUUCAUUGUUUUUGUUAAACAUUGAUGAUUACGACCCCCGUGAAUGAUAUUCCAUUCCAUGCAUCUUCCUUUUUCACAUCCGUACGUAGUACUUGCAGACUUUUCAUCACCAUACAGCUCUAUAAAGCAUCUCCAGAAAAUUAAACAAAAUUAUACGAGUGAUCAGAGAAACCAAACUUUACAAGUUAUAUGUGAACUAUUUAAUAGAAAUAAAGCCUACCAAUACAAGUAGAUCCUGCCUGAUCCACACGUUGUCUAUAAAAUAUAGUAUUCCAAGCAUUUUUUAAAUUUUAAUCUAAAUUUGUGCUUGGAUUUCUGUUGUAUCCAUUUGGCUAGCCAUUUGUCGUAUUCCAAAAAUUAAAUCCCUCCAAGGAAAUCCGGCCUCAGGUGGAUCCGACCCACCAUCGCGGGUCUAGUCGCACUAGAGUGUAUAGCCCGGGUAUGAGACGGAAACCCAUGAAAUCAUGGGUUGUUGCUUGCAAAAUGGUGGGGAGGAUAGGAAAAUAUGGGCGCCGUCGGUUUACGCCAGAGAGAGGGAGAGGGAAAAGGAAAAAAGAAAUAAAAGAAAUAUGGGCACCGUCACAUUAUGUGGUGUACUAAUGUACUAUAACAAACAAAUAAUUUAUGUAUGUACAAUUCUCAAUUCAAAGAAUCAAGUAAUUAAUGGUCCCUCAUUAAAAAAAAAGGAAGGACAAUAUUAGAGGGAUUAAAUUUACAAAUCAAAUGAUGUGUCAUCAAUAGAAAAUAAGCAAGUUAAUUGACACUUAACAAUAAUCCAAUAAUAAGCCUUCACAUCAUUUGAUUUACAAAACUUAAUUUAAAAAUUUGAUCUCGCUAUCAUUAAAUUUAAAAAAAAAAACUAAAAGUUGGGGUCACUGCAUGAUCGAGCCGGCUAAUUUAAUGUUGGGAGUUUGAAUUUAUUCAUUAUCAACUUGCUUUUUCAUUGACAAAUCACAUCCUAACAUGAUAAUGACUUUGGUCAAAUCAUGGCCAUUCAACAACUAAGAUAUUUUCGGAUCGAAUGGGGAUCCUCUUUGAAUUUUUUUUAUGAG